CGGGAAUAUCUGCCAUUCCAAAACUUUGUAACAGCCACUUGCUUUUGUGACCGUUUAUGUGACGGCUAGACUGCUCUCACUUAUGUUACUAACCACGUGACGGUAGAGAGCCAAUUGGCAUACUAUUAUUUUGACGGUAGAGUUAUAAAUUUGUUUCUAAAUAGAAAACUAUUUGCUGGAGUCAAUAUUUUGAAGACCAAAGUCCCAAAUUCUCUCUCGUGCCUGGCCAGCAUCCUAAACCUUACUGGUAGCCGGAGAAUGGCGUAAAACGGCGGCGAUCUUCUUCUUCAUCUUAUUCUCUCUCUCAUCGUUUCAGGUAAGCUUGUGAUUAUGAGUUUCUUCGCUUUCUUAGCUUGUAAUUAUAGGUUUUGAUUUCUUUAAUUCGUUUUGUAGCCAUUAAUGUCAAUUUUUGUCCCACCGGCAAUGUUUUUUGUUCCUAGAAGUUGAAGCCCUUCUGUUCUUGUGCCAUUGGUGAGUUUGCUCACUCAAAUUAAUUUUGUUCUGCGGAGUUUACAAAGUUCAAAUGGACUCAUUUGGAUUACUAUUGAAUUUAGCUUUAAUUCCAACAUCCAUUCUAAUGUUUUGCCAUUAGAUUUACUUUAAUUUUAUCUUUAAAGCUUCUACAAUGAAUAGCGGAGCUUGGGUUUUAGUUUCAAUUUCUAAUUAACUUGUUUUAGUUUAUCUUAUAUGCUCGCCAAGUGCUUGUUAUAUUGUCUGAUAAGUUAUAUAACAUUGCUGAUUCUAUAUUAGUAAUGUCAUGUUCCAUUUUCGGAAAUUAUAACACAAAAGUUUUUACAAUGGCUUGCAUCUACAAACUGAAUUGACUUGUAGAGUAAGAGCUUGGAUUAGUGUUAUGUUCUUGAAUAAAUGAAAGUUCAUAUUGUGUAAGAGCAUGUAGAUGUAAAGCAUCACUACCAUUUCUACAAACUGCUUUCAUUCUGUUCAGAUGCUCCUCUUGAACUUUGAAAGGUGCCUCAUUCAAGUCCUAGCUGUAACUACUAGCUCUGAUUGCUUAAGUUCCUGUGCUAGCUGAAACAGAUUUAUUUAAUUAAUUAAUUGUGUAUGUACUAAUUAUAUUGAACGUAUAUGAAGAAAUUGUUUAACAUGAAUGACUUCUAAAUGACUUAAAAGCCUAAAGGAUAUGUGAAAUAAUGCUCAUUUCACUUGAACGAGCCUAUUAAUACUUGUAUGUCUGAUGGUUGUCGAAGCCAACAAAAAUAAAUUCAUACUCUAAAUAAAUUGUGUAUAGUGAUUGAGCAAGGUCAUGUCCACAGAGAUCGGUAAUUAUUUAAAUCCUUUUGAAACGUAAAACGUAAAAUGGGGGAAUUGUUGACAAUAAUAAAAAUCAAAUUAAAAUAACAAGAAUGCAAAUUAAAGUUGUAAUUCAAAUUAGAGAAAGCUCUGGUUGAAGGAAUUAAUUCAGCUUGAUUCGACUACUGAUCAUUGAUUCAAAUAUAGAUUAUUAUUACUUAUGAAUAGACCGGUUAUAGCUACUGAGACCCUCUAAUAGCCAAUCUCUCCUUAACUAGUCGAUAACCAAGGUACGACUGUUGGUUAUUUCCCUAAUCAAUAGACAACCCUAGAUACGAUCAUAGGAUUUAAUCAAUUGACAGCCUGAAAAACCAGAGAGACCCAAAUCCUAAUCAACACAUACGAUGAUUCAUUUAAAUUAGAUUGUUUAUUCUCACAACACAACUCUCUGCUAUGUUAUUUGUCACAAACAUUAAAUUCUUCAUACGAUGAAUCCUUUAAUUGACAAUAGAUUAAGUUGAUAAUUAAAUAGUGGCCAAUUACCUAAUUAACAAACAUAAUCAUGAAAAUAAUUCAGAGAAUAAACAAAUACCCAAAAAGUAAUAAAACAAUUAAAGCAUAAAAUAGAUCUCACAAUAGUGAUGAAUCAAAGCUUCAUUAUCCUUCAACCAGAAAAAUAUAUUUAGUUCUUCAUAGAGAGAAGAGAAAAGUUUAGAUCUAGGGUUUCUUUCUCUUCUCUUCAAAAGUCCCAUUUUUCACAAUAGAUUCCUCUCUUAAAUACUCUCUCUCUCUUCUCCUCUAGAAUUCUAUUUAAAAUAAAAUACUAAUAUAUGAAAUAUUAAAUUCGUAAUUACAAAAAUAACCAAAAAUACAAAACACGUUAAACUAAAAACUGUAGGUCCGUAGUUGCAGCACGCGCCCACGCGUUAUCAACAAAGUUCUUCUGACGCUCAUAAUUUCUCCAAGAAAGCAAUCAUCUUUAAACAUCAUCUUAUAGCUCAAUUUUAUCACAAAUCAAUAGAAUUGCACCUACAAAAGUAAAACACAAGUAAAUUAUCAUUAUUAAGUGCAAAACAUCAAUAUUAAGGGAAGUAAACAAUGCAAAACUAGUGCAUAAAUUGCACUCUAACAAAUUCCCCCACACAAAGAUGAUGCUUGUCCUCAAGCAUAUAACUCAAGACUAAUCCCAAAUCUCCACUCAAUUCUCAUCUCAACUCAUCCAAAAACAAUUUUAAGCAAGUAUACCUCAAGAAAUUAAGUCGAUCAACAUUCGAGAGACAAGGAUUUUAAAGCAUAGAAUCUCAUAAGAUAGAAUAAGAACAUUCAACCACCAAGAAGAUCCAUUCAAAAUUCAAGUGCAACAAGAUUUAAUAGCCCUCUCAUUGACCUCACUCCAUGCACUCAAAGUGUUUAGGGUGUCAUUUAUUCACUCAAAUCAAAUCAAAGAAUGUUAUUACCAUAAACUUGCUUAUAUAUCACAUCUCAAUCCACAAAACAUGAAUUAAAUGCAAAAAUCUAAGGGUCUUAAAAGGUUGUAACGGGGUUAAAUGGGUUAAAUGAAAAAGAAAAGUUUAUGAAAGAAAAAGAGAUCAAAAUGAGAAGAAUGAACUCAUUGAACGAACUUUAUGAUAUCGAAACGCUUAUUUCUACACAAGUCACCAAGAAUGUAAACAUUUUUUUUUCUUUUUCUUUUUUUUUUUCAAUUUUUUUUUUCGAUUUUUCUUUUUCUUUUUCUUUUUUUUUUUGAAUCAAACAAAAGAAACGAACCUUGCACAAUUUAAUUCAGGCAUAAUGCUUGUUGAUCUAAUUGAGAAACUUUAAUACAAGGUAGAAAAAGCAACAAAAUAUAUACAAAAUAUAUCCACACAAUGAGUCCAAAAAUCUCCUUAAAUUGAGGCUCAAAAAGAAGAAAAAUGGUUAAGUAGACGGAGAGAAUUAGAUGGGUAAUGGUUAAGGCUCAAACAAAGAUAGUAAAUCAAGGUCUUCGGGUAGAGAAAAAAAAAUGCGAGAAUAGAAAAAUGGUAAAUGGUUUGCCCUUAUCAUUUUAAUGCAAAAAAUCCGUAAUGUGGCUUCAACAUGCAUAACAAAGCAAGUUCUAGAAUAAACAAACUAAGAUUGAUAUUCACAUAACAAAAAUAAUAGAGCAAAGUGGUUGCUCAUAGGCUCAAAUCCUCACAAAGUUGGUAAAUUUGCCAUCAAAUCAUGUGCACUCUUCAAAUGAAUCAACCAUCAAUAGUGGUGUAGAAUGAGAAGAAGGUAUGAUUGAGAUAUGAAAGGAAAGGUAAAAAGGAUAAUAAGCGAGAAAGAUGUAUGUAGUAAAAAAAAUGAAUGAUAAAAUGUGAGUGAUGAAAGAGUAUGAUAGAAUAAAAAUAUAUGUAAAUAAUUUGAGGUAGAUGGGAAAAGAGUAGUGAGAGAGAAAGGAAAAGAAAAUUAAUAAUAUAUGAAGCAUACUAACUCCAAAAUCAUUUAAGGAUGAGUAGAGUGAAAAUAAUAAUUCCAAACAUCAAUAAUGUAAAAAAAUCCCUCCCCCACACCAAGAACUUACAUUGUCCUCAAUGUAAGAUAAUCAAAGCUCACAUAAAAAUUAAAGCGUAAGGAUAAAAGAUUAAAGACAAAAAAAAAAAAAAACUUCCCUGAAUUAUGAGCUUUGAUCCACAUAACGUCUAUGGGCUUGGCAGAAAUGGUGGGGUAAAUCCCACACUCUCGAAGUAUGCGGCCAAAUUCUGCUCCAUCUUGUUCAGCUUGUGCUCCAUUUUCUCUAACUGAAUGCUCAAAGGUGGUGCGGAUGUAGAAGGAAUAGUUGGCGGGGCAGCAGUGUCGUCGUCAAACUCGUCAUCAGAGGUAGCACCACUCCUAGCAUAAAGCUUCUUCGGAGGUUGAGUGGGUCCUGGUUCAGUAAAAUGAAAUCUCCCCUCCUUGAAUUCGACCAUACCUGUUCUUUCAAACACAGACAUAUCCAAAAAUUCCUUUUUGCAAGCAGGAUGCAAAUCAUUAUUGUCAGGAUCAAGCACACAUAGGUUUAUAGCUAACAGAGUAAUGUAUGGACCAAGAAAUAAAGUUCUAUACCGUUUAAGCACACUUUGAAAUUGAUCCGCUAACCAAAAACCUAAAUUAGGCCUCACAUCAUUUAACAUGCACCAGAUAAAAUAACAUUCAGUUUUAGAGAAAACUCCUGAGUGAUCUUUCUUACCGAAAAAAUUAUAUGCUAAGAAUCGAUGCACACAUUUCAAAACAGGAUCACGUAAGAAAGAACUCUUUGAUUUACUCGGGUCAUAGGCAUUGUGAUCAAUAGAUAAAUUACGCCAAAGACCAUAAGGCUCAAAAUUUUCGCUAAAGUCACAAGUUGUUCCUAAAUAUGCAUCACUAGAAGAAUAAUCAUCAUCAAUGAAUCCUAAAGCUAGGUUAAAAUCCGUGAUAGAGUGUAAAAAAUUUCGUCCCAUUAACCUAAACUUAAUGACAUCCGGGGUAUGCAAAGUAAAAUCAUUCGGCAUAUUAAAUUGAAAAGUAGCAUAAAACUUCCUAAUCAACUCAACAUAACCCAAACAAUCAACAUCAACAAACUUAUGUGACCCAAUCUUAUCUAUCAAAGAAUCAAAAUUAUCCUUAACAUUCAAUUUUUCAAGAGUCGGGUAAUGAAUAUACUUAGCUGGAAGUAUUUUGCGCGUGGAAAUAUCUUUGUACCUCUCUUUCUCUUGUUGAGUCGCGAAUGCGAGGCACUCUUUGAGAUUGGAUUCCGCAAGUGGCAAAACACUCAUGCCUUUUCCAUGUUUCGAUCUUUGUCUCACGGCUUGGCGUGAAUAUGAAAUUGUGUUCCAUGGAACCGUAGUGGGAGCGGCAAUCUUAGAUUUCUUUGCGACGAGUGUCUUUUUAGAUGACUUGGAAGUAGAUGCUUUCCUCUUCGGCAUUGUUACAAUAAUUGCACUCACGGAUUUCGAUUUACCUGGCUGGAAUACAGGGCGUAGGUUGGAUCUGCGUUGCGUUGCUGCUUGGCUGGAGCUUGCUGCGCAGGUUGGGGCUGGUUGCGCGCUGCUGCUGGUUGUGUUGCGCGCUGCUGCUGGUUGUGUUGCGUGAUGCUGCGCGCUGCGGGUGGAAUUGGUUGCGCGCUGCUGGGGCUGGAUUCGGGUUGCGCGCGGGGGCUGGGGAUGCUGGUGCGCGCUGCGGGUGGGACUAAUGCGCUGCGCUGAGGCUAAUUCGCGUUGCUGGGGCUGCGUUGUGGGAUGCUGGUGCUGUGUUGCGUUGCGCGCGGCUGCUGCUGCUGCAUGGCUGCGGCUGCUGCUGCUGCGGGUGAAAACGAUAAUCAACAGUGAAUUUUUAUUUUAUUUUUUUGAAUUAGGGAUUUAUGAACAGUGAUUUGUGAUUUUUGUUUUUUUUUUGUUUUUUUUAAAUAAAAAAAAUAUGUAUAUAUAAAAGAAAGAAAAGAAGGAAAAAAAAUAAUAUUUUUUUUUUUGUGAUGAAUCACUUUGAGACACUAAAAAUUUCAGAAGUACUUUUCUAAUAAGCACGUGGGCACGCCUUAAAACCAUUUUAUUUUAAAAAUCACAGAAGUACUUAUUAGUUAAGACGUGGGCACGCCUUAUCAAAAAUUUUCUUCUGACCAAAAUAAGCAAACACAUUAAAAAAAAAUGAAUCAAAAUUAAAAGAAGAUAUAACAAAAACCAAAAUAAAUAAAUCAUUUGGGUUGCCUCCCAAAAAGCGUCUUUGUUUUAUGUCUUUGGCUAGACACAUUUAUGCAUCAAUCUCCAUAAUUGGGACUCUCGAGAGCCACAUCCUCCACAAUAUUCACAAAAAAACCUUCAUAAAAAGGUUUUAAGCGAUGACCAUUAACCUUAAAAAUUUUGUCAGAGGUCGGACUUCGAAUCUCAACUGCACCAUGAGGGAAAACAUUAGUAACAAUAAAAGGUCCAACCCAGCAAGAACGUAAUUUACCCGGAAAAAGUUUAAGCUUAGAAUGAAAAAGAAGAACUUUUUGACCAACAGAGAACUCCUUUCUCAAAAUCAUUCUAUCAUGAAAUGUCUUCGUUUUUUCCUUGUAAAUAACUUCCUGCACUAUAGGGUUAAUAACAUCCACAGAAAAUACCGAAUGUUCCUCACUAGGAUAUUUCAUGGCAUCAUUCAUAUUGAAUUCUAUAACCUCUCCAUCAAACUCCAUAGUGAGAGUCCCUUUAUGUACAUCCAUUUUAGUCCUAGCAGUCUUAAGAAAAGGUCUUCCUAGCAAAAUUGGGACAAAAUUGGAGGAGUUAUCCUCUUCCAUAUCAAGUGCAUAAAAAUCAGCAGGAAAAACCAACUCAUUAACUUGUACUAAGACAUCUUCUAAUACCCCAUCAGGAUAUGCAUUAGACCUAUCAACUAGUUGAAUUAUCACGCCAGUUUCUUUUAAUGGACCAACAUUCAAAGAUGAAUAAAUGGAACGAGGCAUGACAUUAAUAGAAGCUCCUAGAUCUAACAAAGCCUUUUCAAUUCUAACACUACCAAUUUUACAAGGGAUAGUAAACAUACCUGGAUCCUUGCACUUAGAGGUAGUUUCUUUUGGAGAACUGCUGAAACAUUCUCCCCCAUGUGAACUUUUUCAUCUCCUCUUAAUUUUCUCUUAGAGGUGCACAGUUCCUUAAGGACUUUAGCAUAUCGAGGUAUUUGUUUUAUAGCAUCUAAUAAAGGAAUAUUUACCUCAACCUUGCGAAAUGUCUCAAGGAUGUCUUUCUCUUGUUCCUCCUUCUUGGAUAUUGCAAACCGGCUUGGAAAAGGAGGAGGUAUCACAAUAGGUAGGGGUUUCGCUCUGGUGGGUUGCGCAUCUUGAGAUUUAGGCAUCAAUUCAUUCUUCUCAAGCUCAUCUUCUACAUGCUUUGUCACUUUCUUACUAGGCUCUUGCAACUCCUUCCCACUUCUAAGGAUGACAGCACUAACGUUUUUCUUUGGAUUCACCUCAGAUUGUGAAGGCAAUCUCCCUAAUACUUGAGACUCCAGAAGGCUCACUGUAGUCGCCAAUUGACUCAUUUGGUUCUCCAAAUUCUGAAUGCUUGUUGUAGUUGCCUGCUGAAAUUGUUGAGUGUUAGUCGCAAGUGAUUUAACAAUUUCUUCAAGAGAUAUACCUGACUUAGAGUUUGAUUGUGGAGGUGCUGGUUGUCUUGGUGGAUACUAUUGUGGGAAUCCUGACGGCCUAACUCCAUAGCUGAAGUUGGGGUGAUCCUUCCAUCCCGGAUUGUAUGUUUAUGCAUAAGGAUCAUACCUCCUCUGAGGCAUGCCUGGAAAUCCUCCAACUGCAUUGGUUUGUUCAACGGGUUCUUCUUGAAGUGUAGGACACAUAUCAGUUGAAUGACCCAUAUUGUAACAAAUGCCACAAGUCUUCACCUGUUGCACAUUACCUACAACAAACUUUUCCACAAGAGAAGUAAGUUUAUCUAAACUUUGUCCAAUAGAAGAAAUAUUUACCUCAUUUACCUUCCUUGAAGUGAGAUCUUGCCUGCUGCCAAAUUGUUGUGCGUUGGCAGCCAUAUUUGAUAUCAGCUCCUUUGCUUGAGUAGGGGUCUUGUUCACCAACACGCCUCCACUAGCAGCAUCUAUCAUACUCCUAUCCAUCAAUGACAGUCCUUCGUAAAAAUAUUGAAUAAGAUGUUGAUCAGAAAUCUGAUGCUGAGGACAGCUGGCACACAAUUGUUUGAAUCGCUCCCAAUACUCAUACAAAGUCUCCCCAGGAAGUUGUCUGAUCCCACAAAUGUCUUUUCUGAUGUUAGCAGCUCUUGAAGCAGGAAAGUAAUUCUCGAGGAAUUGCUUGUUCAAACCAUUCCACGUUGUAAUUGAUCCAGGAGGCAAGUAGUACAACCAGUCUUUAGCUAGUCCAUCUAAAGAGAAAGGAAAAACACGCAGCUUAAUCUGCUCUUCAGUCACGCCUUGUGGUCUCAUACUUGAACACACAACAUGAAACUCCUUAAGAUGUUUAUGAGGAUCUGCACCUGCAAAACCAUGAAACUUGGGUAAUAAAUGAAUAAGACCAGACUUUAAUUCAAAAUUUACCUCCAAGUCUACAUAUUGAAUGCAGAGUGGUUGUUGACUCAAGUCUGGUUCAGCUAACUCUCUAAGAGUUCUUUCUACAGGUGCAGGUCUAUCUAUCAUUUGUUCUUCUGAAUCGCUAGAUGAUUCAACUAAAUCAGGCACUGUAUCUAUUUCAGAAAGCAAAGGCGACGAGGAUCGUUACUUAGCUCGCUUCGUCUGCUGUCUCAGCUGGCGAGCUGUCUUCUCAAUUUCAGGAUCAAACGAAAGUGUACCUGUACGAGAAGAACGAACCAUACACCAAGUAAAACGUAAAAAGGAUUAAAUAAAUGACACCAAUCCCCGACAACGGCGCCAAAAUUUGAUGGUUGUCGAAGCCAACAAAAAUAAAUUCCUACUCUAAAUAAAUUGUGUAUAGUGAUUGAGCAGGGUCGUGUCCACAGAGAUCGGUAUUUAAAUCCUUUUGAAACGUAAAACGUAAAAUGGAAGAAUUGUUGAUAAUAAUAAAAAUCAAAUUAAAAUAACAAGAAUGAAAAUUAAAGUUGUAAUUCAAAUUAGAGAAAGCUCUGGUUGAAGGAAUUAAGUCAGCUUGAUUCGACUACUGAUCAUUGAUUCAAAUAUAGAUUAUUAUUACUUAUGAAUAGACCGGUUAUAGCUACUGAGACCCUCUAAUAGCCAAUCUCACCUUAACUAGUCGAUAACCAAGGUACGACCGUUGGUUAUUUCCCUAAUCAAUAGACAACCCUAGAUACGAUCAUAGGAUUUAAUCAAUUGACAGCCUGAAAAACCAGAGAGACCCAAAUUCUAAUCAACACAUACGAUGAUUAAUUUAAAUUAGAUUGUUUAUUAUCACAACACAACUCUCUGCUAUGUUAUUUGUCACAAACAUUAAAUUUUUCAUACGAUGAAUCCUUUAAUUGACAAUAGAUUAAGUUGAUAAUUAAAUAGUGGCCAAUUACCUAAUUAACAAACAUAAUCAUGAAAAUAAUUCAGAGAAUAAACAAAUACCCAAAAAGCAAUAAAACAAUUAAAGCAUAAAAUAGAUCUCACAGAAGUGAUGAAUCAAAGCUUCAUUAUCCUUCAACCAGAAAAAUAGGUUUAGUUCUUCAUAGAGAGAAGAGAAAAGUUUAGAUCUAGGGUUUCUUUCUCUUCUCUCCAAAAGUCCCCUUUUUCACAAUAGAUUCCUCUCUUAAAUACUCUCUCUCUCUUCUCCUCUAGAAUUCUAUUUAAAAUAAAAUACUAAUAUCUGAAAUAUUAAAUUCGUAAUUACAAAAAUAACCAAAAAUACAAAACACGUUAAACUAAAAACUGUAGGUCCGUAGUUGACAGCACGCGCCCACGCCUUAUCAACAAAGUUCUUCUGACGCUCAUAAUUUCUCCAAGAGAACAAUCAUCUUUAAACAUCAUCUUAUAGCUCAAUUUUAUCACAAAUCAAUAGAAUUGCAUCUACAAAAGUAAAACACAAGUAAAUCAUCAUUAUUAAGUGCAAAACAUCGAUAUUAAGGGAAGUAAACAAUGCAAAACUAGUGCAUAAAUUGCACUCUAACAAUGUCUAUGAUUGUCAAUCUUGCUUUAAGUGUUUCAGUUAAGUGGUUUACCUAACAGGGAAAAAAAUUUAAUGGAAAACUUUAGAGUUCUAACAGAAAUAUAGUUGACUGCAGAUAUAGCUAUUUUGCAGUACAUAAAUUAUGUUGUCCUAUUCUCAAUGUCCUACGACCUAUUUUAUUUUAUAUGGUCAUUCAUUUUUGCGAUGGUUUUUUGUGCUUAUGAGUAUGGAAAUAGUGGGAUUUGGUGUGGCAAACAAAAAUAUACAUAUAAUCAAGUUUCUUAAUCAUGUAUAUUGGUUUUGGGUAUGAAUGUUUUCCUAUUCUAGUUCUAGGCAAAGUUUCUUCAUUUUGGUCUUCAGAUUUCCAGUAGGUUAAGUUAAGCAACUAUCAUAACUAGCUAGCUAGUUAUUGCCUGCCUUGUCGCCAUUACAUUGCAUGGCAUAAGGAAUAGUAACUAGGUGAUUAUUGGUGAUUCGUUGAGUUUAUUAUUGGCCAAACUAACAUAUUCGCCUUUACCCACAACUUAGUUUGAUUAGAUAUUAGAUAAUAAAGAGCCUUAAUCUAUGCAUUGCUUUAUUAUUUUUAUUUGGUUUUUCUUUCAACAAUAUUGUUGAUUUCUUAUAAAAAAUAUUCAUUGGUUUUUAAACACCUAAUCAUUGGCUAUGAUGAAGCUAAUUAAAACGAAGGCUUUGGAUCAAUUUCUUCUAACAACAUACAAAUGAGCAUAACCACCCCCUCCCCCCGAACCCAAAAAAAAAAAAAAAAAAAGGAAGACUUUGCAAGAUUCACAACCAGGUUACAUUUAAUUUAUUAAUUGUGUGUACGUACUAGUUAUUUGUUGAUAGAAUAGGAAGAAGUAUUUUAAUAUGAAUGACUUAAAACUUGUUGCUCAGUAAACAUAAUGUGCAUCAGUGCUAGAAAAUGUAUUUAUUGUUUGUAAUUUUUUAUGGUUUUGCUUAAGAAAUGAAAUGUGAAAAAAUGCUACAUUGUAUUAGGAAUAAAUUGAAGAGAUUUAUGAUUUUUAUGUGUUAUUCAAGUUUCAGAUUCAAUUUUAAACUUUUGAUACAUGCAUUGAAAGCUUAAACUCCUUUAAGAAAUUAUUAAUAGACACAUGUUUUAUUAGUGUCAUCUUUUGGAUGAUAGUGAGGAUCUUAUGUCUAUUAAUAAUUCUUGAAUUAUCUAGGCUUGGACAGUUUGGUAAUGCAUAGUUUUCUAUGGUAGCUAGUGCCUGAAAUUUUUUUCCCACGUAAAAAUGGGUUUUUCAGCAGCUGCUCCUCAUGUUCUCUGGGUGCAUACUAGACAAAUGGGUGUCAUGUGUUGUUUUGGCAUAACACAUAAACACUCAUAUAUCUAUGUCGCGUACUUGAAGAACUAUAGGGAGAUGCUUCCGAAGUUUCUAUAAACGUAGAGGAAAACUUUAGAUACUUAAGAUUGAAGAAACUUAUGCAUUCUUGAGUGGGAUAUAUAGGACCACUUACCUUUUGUAAAUAUGAAGGGAAUGUUGGAUAUAUUGAUGGGAGUGGAGGAGCUGAGUGGGAUGAAUGUAAUCGGUUAUGAUUUUGCUGAGUCGACUUGGUUUUGAGUCUUGUAAUUUUGUUUAUAAAUGGAGUACUAUCUCCAAUGUUGGUUUAUAAAUAUGUUUCAGCUGGCUGACCUAAUUUUUUGUUUCUAGGUAACAGGCUUUAUAUAUCUGUAAUUGAUAGCCAAGUGAAGUUCUCAGCAGUGGGUAACAGGCUUUACAGAAGAAUACUAUAAAUAAUUCUUGAAUUAUCUAUGCUUAUUGACCAUAGAUCAAAACAAUCUCUUCCUUUUCAACCCCAUCUCUGUCAUUGCUCUGCAUCCGUAUACAUAAAGUGAUAUGAGUCGCACUAGAGUUUUUGCUGUGGAGGAUGUUACUAAGUGUAUCAAUUUCUUGCAACCGAAAGCUACAAGUUUUGUUAGGUUCCCAAAAGAUACCGAUGAUGAUGGCAAUAGAAUUAACAGACUUUGACAAUAAUAUACUCUUAGAAUUUCAAGAUACUGAAAAAUGGGGGCAAGUUUGGAGUCUUGUUUGCACAGCUGCCUCAGAUGAUAGUGCCGGUGCAGCUUUAAUUCUUUUAUCAUUGCCAACUUCCCCACAUGUUUCUCUCAGCAUCCUUCCUUCGAAAAUUCCUCUUCGUUGAAUGAAAAAUAAACCAGUGCGAGUAUUUCGAGAUUGUGAAAUCUCUCCAGUACGUUCCAGAUUGGAAAACAAGCUGAGUCAUCUCCGGCAAUCUCUAGUUGUUUAAGACUGCCAAAAAGGUGUUGUGGGAAAUCGGCCUGCAAAAUCAUCUUCACAUCUUUUCCACUUAGUGAUAGUUCCUUCAAGUUGGGUACGAUCUGAUCAUCAUCAAUCAUAAUAACUAAUGAGGUCAAUUGAUGUUCUUUCAAAUGAUUUUGAGUAAUCCAAUCACGCAGUGACUUUAUAGUAUUUAUUUUAUAUUAAUUUUACCCCUAAAAAAAUUGAAUUAGUGAUAAAAUUCAUUAUAUGAUUUUUUUAUAUGUUAGUUUUAGAGGUAAUAAAGAAAUUAGGGAAAAAAACGAAAUUAUUUUAUUGCACGAUAGUAGACUCUUGCUUCUCAGUGCCUUUGCCACUGUAGUCAAGGCAAUGGGCAAACCUCCACACAACCUGGCGACGUCUGUUGCUGUAGAUUCCAACUCACGAUUUUCAACAUCAUCACCGGCCAUCAUCUUAAACAAUCUCCAGGCUUCUUCUUCAUUUAAAUUGUUAAUCAAGAAGUUGUCUUUAGAUCCCAUUUUUAAGAGGACGCCACGAUCUCUUGCUGUCAGCAGUAGUUUGCAGCCUUUAUGAUCUUCUCCAAAAGGAAUUCCAACUGUCUCCAAGUCAAGGUGCUUCCAGAUGUUAUCUAAAACCACAAGGAUCUUCUUCUCAUUUCUCAAUCGCUCAAAUAGUUUACAUGCUCUUCUAGAUUCAACUUCCUCGUGCAACUCCAGGCCCAACUUCUCGGCAAUUUCCUGUUGAAUCCUUUUUAUGUCUGGAAUUUGGGAAACCUCUGAAAAGACCACCAUAUCAAAGAGCUCGUCUUCCAUAGCUUGCCUGGCGACCUUCUUCACCAGUGUCGUCUUUCCAAUGCCGCCCAUGCCGUACACCCCAAUGAUGCUGACACUAACAUCGAUCAAUGCGUUUUUUACAACUGACUUCAUCAACAAAGCUUUUGUGAAUAUGCGUUACAUUACAACUGCGAUAUCCUUUCACUGUAUAUUCAUACAGUGGCAGGCCAUGUGACGUUGUGACCCAUGUGCUAGCUUUCACUAUUCAUAUUAUUUUUUUACACGGUGUUUAACAAAAUCUUCACGUAAAGAUUUCAGACGCGUGAUCCUAAUUCAGUAUGCAUUAUUUAUUUAUAAAAUGAAAAUAAAAAGAUAAAAGGAUGUGACUUAACUUGCUAUCAGUGCGGAUCCAGGACUUAAUAUUAUUUCGGGUUAAAUUUUAUAUUUUAAAAUUUAUAUUUUGAAGUGAACAUAAAAAUUUAUAAGUAGAAAGAAGUAUAUUAAAUGAGGGGAGAUAUGGAGAGCUUUAUCCCUAUGAAUAUGUAUUAUAAACGAAAAUAAUUGUAAGAAAAGAGUAGAAACCAAAAGGCAAUUCAAAUAUCAAAACAUUAUUUUUCAAUUAUGGAAUCCGAUAUUGCAACCUAUAAUAACAUGUAAUUAUAUAAGGAUUAAUAAAUCAAUUAAGAAUUUCAAACUAAAUUAGAUCAGUACAUGUGAUUAAAAUUAAUUAAAGAUUACAAGUAAAACUUUUUUGUUUGAAGUCAAGUACUAAAUUACCAAGCUUAAAUAAAUUUAAAAAAUUAAAAUUCAUUCAUUCUUUCGAAUUAUAAAAGUAUUAUUAAUAAAAAAUUUAGUAAUAAACUAAAUUCAAUUCAACAAAAAGUUAUUUGGAUAUCGUUGUUUCAUUGCCAGUGCACUAACUUUCUUUAUAGAAGUAGAUGUUGAUGAUUCUUCUAUUAAAGUUCCUCAAAAUACCUAAAUUUUAUUUUCUAACUUCUUCUCGUAGUUAAUGUAACUAAUAAAUAGAAUCUAAAAAAUCACAUAAAAUGUUUAUGAAAAUGUUGAUAAUUGUUACUAUUUAUUGUUUUCGUAAGUACUUUUAAUGCUAGUGACGAUGUUAUAUUACAUUGAUUUAUAUUUUUUUUCAAUUAGAAGUUUUUUAAAAUAAAUUAAAGCGAUAAUAAUACUUUAGCUCCUAAUGUUUUCAAUCUAUCCACUAAGUAUAUAAUUUAAUCAUUUUAUAAAAUAAGUCACUAAUUUCAAUUGGAAAUAAUACAAUUUAAUUAGGGAUAUAUUUGAAUAUAAAAUAAUAGCCCAAUUGUUAUACUAAAUUGAUGAAAAUAUAAGGGUAAUUGAGUUAGGGAAAUAUUUGAAUAUAAAGUAAAAACUCUAUUGUUAAACUAAAUUGAUGAAAACAUAAGGAUACUUGAGUUAGGGACAUAUAUGAAAACAAAAUAAAAACUCUAUUUUUAUAAAAAAAUUAUAAGAAAACAAGGUGUAUAAAUGAUUUUUUCUGUGCUAGACCAAGCUACAACCCAGUCUAGCCCAACUGUAGGUCCGCCACUACUUGCUAUUUACAUACAGACAUGUAGCCCUUAUUCUAAUAUCUAUAGGAAAAGACACUUAUACUCCAAGAUUUGAAGAAAUGGUCACGUAGAUCUCUAAGUUUUCAGUAACCAAAAUUUCUUUUUGACUAUAAUACUUUUUGUACAUAGUAAAUAAAAAAUGACUUUAAGAUUUUUUUUAAUAAAUAUAAAUAUAACUUAAAUAGUUUAAUCUGUCUAAUAGACUAAUAAUAUUAGAAUAUUUUUAAUAUAUAAAAUAUUUUUUAAAUAAAAACAUUAUAUUUAUUUUAAUAAUAUAUUUUUAUUUAUCAUAAAAAUAUCAAAUAAAUCAUUGGGGUUAAAUAGAAUUUAAAAUUAAUAAAACACAUCUCAUUAAUAAAAUAUAUCUCAUGUAGUAAUAAUAUUGAAAUUAUUUUAUAUAAUAUUUAAAAAAUUUAUAAAAUUUAUAAAAUUUAUAAAAUUUAUUUUAAUAUUAUGUUCUUAUUUAUUAUAAAAUUUAGUCUAAUAUAAUAUAAGAUUGUUAAGUAUAUAAAUAUUUUCCUAAAUUGAAGUUGUUUUAAAAUGUUAAUAUUUUAUGUUUAUUUCAAUAUUAUAUUUCUAUUUAUUAUAAAACAUAGGAGUCAAUUUUUUUGAGUUAAUAGAGUCAAAUGUAUUAUAGUCGAAAGAGGUAUUGGUAUUCCUUAUUAAAAAUUUAGGGGUCUACAUGACUAUUUGCCAAACCUUAGGUGUAACGUCCUUUUCUCCAAAAUUGAUUCUCUAUAGGUAUUUCAUGAAGGAAAAUGAUAUUUACAAUGAAUCAAACCCCGGACUAGUUAAAAUGCAUUAUUUCAGCUUAAAUAAUGGUAAAUAUUUGUUCAGUCUCUAUAUUUUGAAUUAAGUACCGUUUAGUCCCUCAAGACACCUUUGUCAGUAAGCACAAUAUAAUCCUACCCUUACUUUUUCUUUGAUUUUAUAAUAACAUGCUUGCAACAAUAUUCUUAGAUAUGUUAAUGUAAAGAAAAAUUUAAAUUUAUCAAAUCAGCCUUAAAAGUAAAAUACAAAUUAGUUGUUAUUAUUAUUAAUAAAAUAAUAAAAUAAUAAAAUAAUAAAAUAAUAAUAACAAUAAUUAACAUUAAUUAAAAUAAUAAAGUUAAUAUAUUAUAUAACAAAAAAAACAAUAUUUACAUUUAUCAAAUUUUCAUGUGUUUAAAAAAAAUUAUGUGAUAUUACAUUAUUAUCUUUACACAAUCAAUCAUUUUUAUGAUCAAGUUAGGCUAAUGGAUCAAGCUUUAAAAAAUUUAAAACAAUAGGAGUUAUAUAAAUAAAUAUUUAAAAAAUUUUGUUUUAUGAUAUUAUAAUAAACAGUAAAGAUUUAAGUCUUAAUAACCAAUUGAACACAUCUCAACCGUUGACAGUAGCGGCUCGACCUCUAGGCAACUUAAGCGGUUGUCUAGAGCCCCGCUUUACAUUAAGGUCCUAUGAAAUGAUUAUUUUGUAUAUAAAAGGGAAAAGUGAAUUUAAAAGUCAUUACUAUGCAUUUAAUUUGUUAUUAUUUUGUAAUUAUCUUUUUCUAAAUAAACUAUCAAAUUCCUAUAAAGUUUAUUUAAUGUAGUACUUAGUAGUUUUAAUUCCUACAAAACCGAUAAAUUAAUAGUUUCAAUCCUACAAAUUCUCUAUUUAAUUGUUAGAAUUAAUAUGUUAUAAUUAAAAAGUUUUAUAUUCAUUUUAAACCUCUAUAAAAGCCCCACAUUUUAUUACUUAUCUAUUAAAUUUUUCCUCUAAUAAUCAAGACACGAUAUGUUGUUAGUGUUUGAGAGAAAGAAAGACAGAGAUGGAAAAAAUCAUGCUUCCUCUACUUUCCACUCAAGAAGAAAAAAAAAAAUCUAAUAAUUUUCUCUAUACUCUAUGGCUAUUGGUCAUUACUUAAAUCCUCAAAUAAUUAAUAUAAAUAUAAAGUUAAUUCAUGAUUUCAUCUCAAAUUCCAGAUUUUAUCUUUUUAUUAUUCUCUUAAUUAGUUGUGUUAUUUACUUGUUCUUAUUUUUUUUCAAUAUAUUCUUUUAUUCAUCUACUUUUUUUUGUAUGCUUGUUUUAUCUAUUUUGAAAUAAAAUUAUAUCGAAAAACUUUAGAAAAUAGAAAAAUUAGUUUAAUCUAGAAAAGGAGUAGUAAAAAAGAUGUAAUUUGAGUUGAAGAACAAUAAGUGAAAAUAUUAUAAUUGAAUUAAAAUUUAAUAGAUAACCCUAAUUUUUUUAUAAGAACUAAUUAAAAUCAUUUGCCUAGGGCCCCAAAUAUGGUUGAGUCGGCCCUGACCGUUGAACACUUUAGCUAUUAGAUUCAUCAGUUGAAUUAGAAAAAUAUAAAAUUUGGGGUACCGUGCAACUGUUGCAAGGUAGGCGGACACGUUAUAUUUAAUAUAGAAUAAAUAAACUAAAUAUGUGUAAAGAAUAUAGGUUAUUAACCUUGCAAUACUUCAAAAAAUUAUAAAAUAAAAAAGGUGAAAUUUCAAAAUAAGGAACUGUAAAAAGUAUUAGGUUCUAAAAUUUUAUUAUUUUAAUAUUACAAAACUUUACUUUUUUAUAACAUUUUUGUUUUUAAUAUUAGUUGACAUGUUAGUUUAUUUGUAUAUAAAAUAUGUUAAUUUACCUAUAAAAUACUAAUAUUACUCUUGAAAUUUAAGGAAGCCAUUUUAAUUUUUUAAAAUUUUAAAUGUAGCCCAACAAAGUCAUAGAAAUAUAAAUAAAGAAUAGCAUAAAAGGAAGUUAGUUUAAUUUUUUGAAGAAUACUUCAAAAGCAUUUGAGUUUUAUGUUUCUUGAGAAUUAUACCUUUUUGUUUUUUAGAUAUUUGAGCUUGUGAAUCUUGUUGUAAUGAUAAUUUAUUAUUUAUUCUUGAUUAAAAAUAAUUGAAUAGUAAAUUUAUUGGUUUCUAAUUACUCUUUUAAAUGUAGGGCGAUUGCUUAAUUUUUAUUAUGUUACCCUAAAUUUUUUGAUGAUGGCUAAUCAACCACUGCAAAAGACUCUACCAUGAUUAUUUUUACUUUCUCUACAUCCCUCUAGACCAUCAUCACUCAAAGAAUUAAGAGUCCAUUUGGCAUACUGUAUUAUAUUAUACUGUAUUGCAUUAUUUAAUAUAGGUAUAUUGUAUUAUGUUAUAUUACAUUAGUACUAAAUUAUAAUAAUAUUUGUACAACAUUUGGUAAUUGGUAUUACAUUGUACUGCAUUAAUUUUAUAUUAAUAUUAUACUAACAUUAUUUAAAUUUAUUAUUAAUUAUAUUAAAUUAUUAUUUUUAUAUAAAUAUAAUAUGAUAUAAUAAAAUAAUAUGAUAGUAUAAUUUAAUUUUAUAUUUUUAUUUAUUAUUAUAAUAAAUAAAAAUAUAAUAAAAAUAUAUUUAAUGCUUAAUUAAGGUAAAAUAAUAAUAAUAACAAUAGUAUUACUUUAAACAAAAAAAUCUAUAAAGUUUAAAGAUGAUGAUGAUGAUGUUGACGACAUUAAUAAUAACAUAACAAUUAAAAUAAUAAAACAAAUAAAUUUUAAUGAUAUUAAUAUUAAUAAAAUAAUAAUAACAAUAAUUAAAAUAAUAAAAUUAAUAUAUUUUAAUAAUAGUAAUAAAAAUAAUAUUAAUGACAGUAAUAAAAUUAAUAAAUAAUAAUAAUGACUUAAUUAAAAAUAAUCAUAAUAAUUAAAAUAAUAAAUUUUGAUGAUAAUAAUAAUAAUAUUAUUAUUAUUCUUAUUAAUAUAAUAAUAAUGACAUUAAUAAAUAAUACUAAUAAUAACAGUCAAAUGUUUUUGAAAAACCAUUUUAUCCCAAAAAAAGGGACUUAUAUAUAAAAUUUUGUAACUUCUAAUGUCUAUUCAAUUUUUUCAUAAAAUAUAAGGUAGUGCAGUGUAAUUAAUAAAAAAGACAAAAUUCGGUGGUAUGCUGCAAUUGUUGCAACAUAGUUUCAUCUUUAUUUGUGAUCCUAAAGUUUGAGAUAUGUGAUCCUUAUUCUAUUGUGUCAAUUAUAGUCCAGUCCAAUGCCGCCAUCAUUAUCGAACAGUCGAUAUCCAACACUUGCACGAAGAUUCCAAGAAGUUGUGUGGCUGCCGACUUUUAAAUGCUAAGCCUUAUUGUGUCGAAGAUACACAAAACAGAGCAGUCCAGGUAAUUGCCAAAACUUAGAACUAAACAGUAGCUUAGUCAGAAAAUCAAACAAGUACCAAUAAAAUGACUGAUAAAAAUAUAAAGAAAUCAGUCAAAUCACGAAGAUUGAAGAGUAAAUCAAUGGUUUUAGAUUUUUAUUUUUUUUUUUAGAUAAUAGAUAUUAUUUUGAUGAAUUUUUUAAUAUUAGAAUAAUGUUAGGAAUUCCAAUAGUAGAAUUCUAGCUUAAGACCCAAUUAUUAUGUGUCAUUUUUUUAUUGGAUAAUGAAUUUCAUAACUAAUAAAAUUAAUAUUUCGAUCAUUUAAUAAAUGACUACCAUAUUAGUUGAGACUCAAUUAUUAGGAUCAUUAACAUUGCUCUUAGUAUUAAAUUGGACAUCUUAUCCAAAUCAGAUUAAAAAUCAAAUUAGAUUUUAAGCUUUUAUUCAACAUCUCCUUUUUUUUUUUUUUUUUUGGUCUAUUUGAAGUGAACAAAAUAAAAAUACAUUAGGGUCAACGACUGGGCAAUUGAUAGUCAAGUAUUUUGUUGUUUUUGCUACCUUGAAUUAAAUUUUCUCAAUUAGAUCAACAAGCAUUAAGCUUGAAUUAAAUUAUGCAAGGUUCAUUUCUUUUGUUUGAUGCAAAAAAAGAAAAAAAAGAAAAAAAAAUGUUUACAUUCUUGGCGACUUGAGUAGAAAUAAGCGUUUUGAUAUCAUAAGGUUCAUUCAAUGAGUUCAUUCUUCCCAUUUUGAUCUCUUUUUCUUUCAUAGACAUUUCUUUUUCAUUUAACCCCAUUACAACAUUUCUAAGACCCUUAGAUUUUUGCAUUUAAUUCAUGUUUUAUGGAUUGAGAUGUGAUAUAUGAGCAAGCUCAUGAUAAUAGCAUUCUUUGAUUUGAUUUGAGUGCAUAAAUGAUACCUUAAACACUUUGAGUACAUGGAGUGAAGUUAAUGAGAGGGCUAUUAAAUCUUGUUGCACUUGAAUUUUGAAUGGAUAUUUGAUAACUCUAGGAAAUGAGAGUUAUUACAUCAAUUCUAGACUUGAAUCAAGGUCACUUAGAGAACAAAUAAAGUGUUUUUAUUACAUUUUGGGUACCUUUUUGCAUAAACAUUCAUUUUAGUUGAGUCUAAUAAAUUUUGCUUGAAUCAUAGUAAUUUGUGCUAAAAACAGGUUUUAAAUUGUAGGUUUUAAAUUCGUGAGAGGAUGUUGAGGCAUUAGAAGAGCAAGAGGAGGAAGGAAGUUGGCCACAAAAGAAGUAAAGCACAAUCGGGAAUAAAACAGUAUUGUAGCAGCUGUUAGAGCAACCAGUGCUAUAACAAUCUUGGAGCAAUGCGGGAGAAAACUUAGGCGCGAGUCAGCCACAAAAUCGUGAUCUGCAUGUUUCCUAAUUCAAGCAUAUGCACGCUCAUAGGCUUUGGUUUAACCUAAUUUGCAAUAUAAAAAAGAGGCGUGCAGCACAUAGAAAGGCGGCAAGGAAUUAUCAUAAAAAAUAAUUACAAAGGCAAGAAGAAGGAGAUCAAGAUUAAAGAGUGCUAUUCGGAAACAAAAGGAGAGAGCCGUGCAGAAUUAUUUGCCUUUCAUCGUGCUCAACUUAUAUUUUCUCUUUUUCCUUGAAUUGUUGGGAUGUAUUCCGAGUUCAACAUAUUUGUGUUUAUUUUUCUCAUCCAGAUUAUGAACUAAAUUUACUUGUGGUUGAGUGAAAAAUAAUCCAAUGGGUUCUUGACUAUUCUUUUAUGUUGUUAUGGUAAUGUUGUAGCAUUAUACUCUAGUAGUUUUUAUGAAUACAACUGUUGUUUCGGUUCACCACCCAUUUAAUAGUUUCAGUUAAGAUAGAGCAGCAAAAGGGCAUGUCUUAGCGGACAUUAUUAGAGUAUUACUUGUUCUUAAGUCGAGUUUCCUGGAAUAUGUUAUCUUGAAUCCCAUAAGGGCAAUACUUGAAGUUAAGAUUUGUGACACUCUAGACAUAGGUGUUCACCUUGUAGGGUAGAGAGAUUAAAGGUUAUAAUGCCAUACCAUAAAUAUAUGAGCAACUGGUCAUUGUUAGUAGAUUUAAAAGUAUGAAAUUUCCAACAUGCGAUAGCUGCGGAUGCAGAUUUAUUCUACCCAUUGCUGCAGCACUUAUUGAAACAAUUGGUGCUAAUUUGGUAAACAACAGUCACCCCAUUAGGAGAGUUUGAUCAUUCAACUACUAUAUUUUCAAUUGAAUCUUAGACACAUUUAACUUAGUUUACUUCAUUACAGUAUUGUUUUAUUUUCAUCUCUCAUAAUUAUUAGUUACAGCAGAAUUAUUUGACAAUUGUUUGUUUCGAUCUUUAAUUGAUUUGCACUAUUGUGAUUGUUUUAGCAUUUUGAGUAACAGCAAUCCCUGUGGAGACGAUCUUGAAUACUCAUCACUUUAUUACUUGUUGUGUAUACUUGCACAUUGGCAUUGAUAAUAAUUGCUUAUAGAAAUUAACCAACAAGUUUUUGGCGCCGUUGCUGGGGAUUGAUUGUUUAUUUUUGAAGUGUGAAGUAAAUCUUGAUAGCGCCAAAUCUGAUUUGAUUUAUUCUAUUUAUUGGCAGAUCGGUACAUGCAUGUGUAAAGACAAAUCUGUGGUAUUCUAAUUCGAUCCUGAGAUUGAAAGGACUGUCAGGAGAUUACGAAGAGAACAAAGGAAUUCAGAAAUUGCUUCAAGCAUGAAUAAUUUACAAGAUGCAGGAAAUUUGAAUCCUCACGGGCCCUUACAACCAGUGAACAUUCAAGAAGAGCAGAAUGACCAUGCUAACGGGAGACAGCCAGGCAAUAACAAUAUUAUUUACAUGGCUGAUGACAGAGACAGAGCUAUAAGAGACUAUGUUGUGCUAACUCCUCAAGUUAUAUAUCCUGGCAUCAUCAGACCUGAAGUAGACGCUGCCAAUUUUGAGUUGAAGCCAGUGAUGUUUCAAAUGUUGCAAACUGUUGGGCAUUUUAUUGGAUUACCAAAUGAAGAUCCUCAUCUCCAUCUUAAAUUGUUCUUGGAAGUAAGUGAUGCUUUCAAGAUUGCUGAAGCAACACAAGAUGCCUUAAGGCUGCGGCUUUUCCCUUAUUCCUUAAGAGAUCGAGCAAGAGUAUGGUUAAAUUCGUUACCAUCUGAUUCCAUCACUACAUGGAAUGAAUUGGCUGAUAAAUUCUUAAUGAAAUAUUUCCCACCGACAAAAAAAUGCGAAGUUGAGGAAUGAGAUUACUUCCUUCCAUCAACUUGAAGAUGAAAGUUUGUACGAGGCUUGGGAAAGAUUCAAGGAAUUGCUCAGAAGGUGUCCUCAUCAUGGUAUCCCUUGUUGCAUUCAAUUGGAAACUUUUUACAAUGGGUUGAAUCCAAGUACAAGGUUAAUGGUGGAUGCUUCAGCAAAUGGAGCUCUGUUAUCCAAAUCUUACACUGAAGCCUAUGAAAUUCUGGAAAGAAUUGCCAACAAUAAUUACCAGUGGCCUUCAGCCAGGCAACCAGCAGCAAGAGGAUCAGCAGGGGUACAUAACAUUGAAACAAUUACAGCUUUAUCAGCUCAAGUAACCUCAUUGACUAACAUGGUAAAAGCCAUGACAGCUGCUCCAGCAACAGUAAAGCAAGUUACUGAACUUUCUUGUGUCUACUGUGGUGAAGAACAUGAUUUUGAUAAUUGUCUUGGAAAUCCAGCCUCAGUAAACUAUGUGGGUAACUUCAAUCGACAACCUCAGAACAACCCAUAUUCAAAUACUUACAACCCAAGCUGGAAACAACACCCAAAUUUCUCAUGGAGCAGUCAAAAUCGAAAUGCUCCAGCAUUGAAUGGACUAAGUACAAACACACAACCACUUAGUUUUCAUUAGCAAAGUCAAGGGCAAAAGCAUAUUAGUCAGGAUCCAAUCACUUCACUAGAAACACUGAUUAAGGAGUAUAUUGCAAAGAAUGAAGCAAUUGUGCAAAGUCAAGCUGUAUCUUUAAGAAACCUUGAGAACCAAAUGGGACAACUAGCUACAGCAAUGAGCAGCAGAACUCAAGGAAGCCAACCUAGCAACACAGAAGACCCUAGGAGAGAGGGCAAAAAAGAAGUUACAACACCAGUAGUUACAACUUGCACAAAAUCAAACAAACAAAGUUUAAUAUCCCCUGAAGUUACCCAGCAGUUUAGACAUCCACCACCUUUCCUACAAAGGUUCCAGAAGCAAAAAUAAGACAAGCAGUUCAGCAAAUUCCUGGAAGUGCUGAAAUAAUUGCACAUAAACAUACAUUUUGUGGAAGAUUUGGAGCAAACGCCAAAUUAUGUUAAAUUUCUAAAAGAUAUCUUGGCACGAAAAAGAAGGCUGGGAGAGUUUGAAACUGUUGCUUUAACACAAGAAAGCAGUCAUAUGCUCCAGAGCAAAAUUCCCACAAAAUUGAAAGAUCCAGGGAGUUUUACAAUACCUUGUUCUAUAGGAACUAGAUAUGCUGGCAGAGCACUUUGUGACUUGGGAGCUAGUAUUAAUCUGAUGCCAUUAUCUGUAUUUAAGCAACUGGGAGUAAGGGAGUGCAGACCAACAACAGUCACUCUGCAAUUAGCUGACAGAUCUCAUGCAUACCCUGAAGGAAAGAUAGAGGAUGUAUUGGUGAAGGUUGACAAAUUCAUCUUUCCAGUGGAUUUCAUUGUGUUGGACUUUGAAGCCGACAAAGAGGUACCCAUUAUACUUGGAAGACCUUUUCUAGCAACUGGAAAAACUCUGAUAGAUGUGCAGAAAGGAGAGCUCACCAUGAGAGUGAAUGAUCAGCAAGUCACAUUUAAUGUGCUAGAGGCAAUGAGAAACCCUAGAAGAUUGUAAUUUCCUAAGUGUAGUGGAUCUUGUUGUAGCAGACAGAAUGGACAGAUGCUGCAGUAAUAUACUUGACAAAGUCACCACCUUUGAGGAUGUUGAAGAGGAAGAUGUUGCAGCAAUCCAAACAGAUUGGAUGGACAAACAACAAUCUGAUAGGUACAACAGGUUUAUUGAACACCUGAAUCUUUUAGACAUGGAAGUAAAAACAACUUUACCAUCUAUUGAAUCACCUCAUAAUUUUGAGUUAAAAUUGUUACCUUCACAUUUAAAGUAUGCUUAUCUUGGUCAAAACAACACACUCCCUGUAAUCAUUUCUUCUACUUUGGAUGCAGGUCAAGAACAUAGUUUAGUAGAUUUGCUGGGAAAAUACAGAAGAGCAAUUGGAUGGACCAUGGCAGAUAUAAGGGGGAUAAGCCCAUCCAUCUGUAUGCAUAAAAUCCUAUUAGAGGAUUGUUCCAGCAAUUCGGUGGAACACCAGAGAAGGCUGAAUCCUAUUAUGAAAGAAGUGGUGAAGAAGGAAAUCAUCAAAUGGCUAGAUGCUGGAAUCAUAUACCCAAUAUCAGACAGUUCAUGGGUAAGCCCAGUUCAGUGUGUUCCAAAGAAAAGAGGGAUAAUAGUAAUGGCUAAUGAGAAUAAUGAACUUAUUCCUACAAGGACAGUGACUGGAUGAAGAGUGUGUAUGGAUUACAAGAAGCUUAACAAAGCCACAAGGAAAGACCAUUUCCCACUUCCAUUCAUAGAUCAGAUGUUGGACAGACUUACUGGAAAACAGUACUACUGUUUCUUAGAUGGGUAUUCAGGCUACAACCAGAUUGCUAUAGUUCCAGAGGAUCAAGAGAAGACUACAUUUACUUGUCCUUAUGGAACAUUUGCCUUCAGAAGAAUGCCAUUUGGGCUAUGCAAUGCUCCAGCAACUUUUCAGAUAUGCAUGAUGUCUAUAUUUUCUAAUAUGGUAGAGCAAACUUUGGAAGUUUUCAUGGAUGACUUCUCAGUUUUUGGAGAAACAUACAAUGAUUGUUUACACAACUUGGAAGAAGUUCUUAAAAGAUGUGAGAUGACCAACUUAGUACUCAAUUGGGAAAAGUGCCAUUUCAUGGUGCAAGAAGGAAUAGUGCUGGGUCACAAGAUAUCCAAGGAUGGUAUUGAGGUAAACAAAGCCAAGUUAGAGGUAAUAGAUAAACUGCCACCUCCAACUUCAGCAAAGGGUGUUAGGAGUUUUUUGGGUCAUGCUGGAUUCUACAGAAGAUUCAUUAAGAAUUUCUCCAAUGUAGCUAAACCUCUGUGUUCAUUGCUGGAGCAUAACAAACCAUUUCACUUUGAUACAGAGUGCCUUAAGGCAUUUGGAGAAUUAAAGAAAGCUCUUAUCAUUGCUCCAGUAGUUAUAUCUCCAUAGUGGACUUUACCAUUUGAAUUGAUGUGUGAUGCUAGUGAUCAUUCUGUGGGGGCAGUAUUAGGGCAAAGAAAGGAUAAGGUUUUUCAUUCCAUAUACUAUGCAAGCAAAACGUUCACUCCAACUCAGAUCAAUUACACAACUACAGAGAAAGAGUUGCUAGUAGUAGUUUUACUUUUGACAAAUUCAGAGCUUACCUGGUGGGUACCAAAGUAACUGUUUACACAAACCAUGCAGCCAUCAAAUAUUUAAUUUCAAAGAAGGAUGCCAAACCAAGAUUAAUCAGAUGGAUCUUAUUGCUUCAAGAAUUUGAUCUGGAAAUUAAAGAUAGAAAGGGGACUAAGAAUCAAGUGGCAGACCACUUGUCACGGUUGGAAUCAGACACUAGUACAUUGACAAGGAAGGACAUCACCGAAACUUUUUCUGAUGAACAGUUGUUGGUAAUACAGCAAGCACAGAUGCUGCAGCAGUCAGAAUCUCCAUGGUAUGCAGACUUUGCUAACUACUUAGUAAGUGGGUUGCUACCACCUGAGCUGAAGUUUUAAGAGAAAAAUAAAUUUCUUCAUGAUGUUAGAAGUUAUCAGUGGGAUGACUCACAUUUAUAUAAGCUAUGCUCAGAUCAAGUAAUAAGAAGAUGUGUUGCAGCAGAAGAAAUACCUCAUAUACUGGAGUCAUGUCAUGCUGCAGCAUAUGGAGGAUAUUUUGGUGGUCACAGAGCAACUGCCAAAGUUAUGCAAUCAGGUUAUUAUUGGCCCACUAUCUUUAAAGAUGCUUAUGAAUUUGUUAAAUGUUGUGAUAUGUGUCAAAGGACAGGGAACAUAACUAGCAGACAUGAGAUGCCUUUGACUAACAUAUUGGAAGUGGAAGUUUUUUAUGUUUGGGAAAUAGAUUUCAUGGGACCUUUUCCCCCAUCCUUUGGGAACUUAUAUAUCAUUGUUGCUGUAGAUUAUGUCUCCAAGUGGGUAGAAGCUGCAGCAUUACCUACCAAUGAUGCUAAAACAGUGGUGACUUUUCUUCAAAAAAAUGUUUUCUCUAGGUUUGGCACUCCUAGAGCAAUUAUUAGUGAUGAAGGCACACAUUUUUGCAACAAAAUCUUUGCUGCAGCAAUGAUGAAAUAUGGAGUCAGACACAAGAUAGCAACAGCAUAUCACCCACAAUCCAAUGGUCAGGCUGAAGUGUCCAACAGAGAAAUUAAAAAGAUCUUAGAAAAAGUGGUGAACCCAAAAAGGAAGGAUUGGUCUUUACAUUUGCAUGACUCUCUAUGGGCCUACAGAACAACAUACAAAACUCCACUCGACAUGUCUCCUUACCGAAUUGUUUAUGGCAAAGCAUGUCAUUUGCCACUAGAGCUAGAGUACAAAGCCCAUUGGGCAUUAAAGAAAUUAAAUUAGGAUAUGCAUGCUGCAGCAGGGCAAAGGAAACUUCAACUUUGUGAGCUUGAUGAAUUACGGCUGUUUUCAUAUGACAAUGCAAGAAUCUAUAAAGAGAGAACAAAACACUGGCACGACAAGCAUAUUCAACACAGGAAAUUCACCCCUGGUCAAUUAGUGUUACUCCACAAUACAAGACUAAGAUUAUUUCCAGGAAAGCUCAAGUCAAGAUGGUCUGGCCCGUUUAAGUUGUUAAAAUCUUACCUUCAUGGAGCUGUUGAUCUUCUAGAUGAACAAACAGGCCACGAGUUCAAGGUUAAUGGACACAGGGUUAAGCAUUACAUACAUCCAGCAGCAGAAUGUUCAAAGGAGGUGUUACUCCUUAAAGAACCUAGCUAUUGAACAAAGAAGGAAGGUCAUGCUGAAGGACCUUAAAUCAAGCGCUUCAUGGGAGGCAGCCCAUUGAGGAGAUAGCCACUUCAAACCAAGUUUGAUAGCCUUUGGUUUUGUAGACAGCUUUCUCUCUUUGCCAUCUUAUUUAAUUUCUGUUUUUCUAUGAUUAGCCCUUAUUUUCAUCCAUUUACAUUAUUGCAUUCUUUACUUUCACUUUAAUUUGCUAUAUCUAUUUCUUUUAAUAAAUUUUAGACUUAAUGUUAGUAAGUGUGAUAAUUGAAUUUCAUAUUGACAAGUGAGAGUGAAUGGUGGCAGAAUUCAGAGGUGAAUCACGUGUUAGAAGCUUUUAGUGGGGAGUCUGUAUCCGUUGUUAGAAUAAGCGAAUGGGUGCUGCAGCAGCUAAUUUUACCGUUACAGUAAAUUAAAAGCUGGAGCCUUUCACUUACCGUUGGAGAUAAAAUCGUGACAGAUGGAUGCAUGGACAUGGAUAGAAAAUUGAGGAAACCAAUCUAUGAAAUUAAAGCUUUAAUUUCAUUGGCCGAUAAUUUUGGGGAUAUGGACAUUUAAUUCAAAUAUUUUAUUCCCUCAAUUAUCUCUCGUUACCGUAUUUAUCUUCAAAUUAAAGUCCAUUAUAAAAAAGAAUCACUGUGCUUAGUGCUCUACGCCACUAUUCCCCAUCUCCUUCGCAAAGACAACUCUAAAAACUCUUAAACUCUUUUUCUCUUUUUAUUCUCAGGAACAGUAGCUUCAAUUUGUUAUUGCUACAGCAAUGCCGAGAUACAAGAAAAUAGUCAGUCGCCUCAAAGAUCUAUCACGAUUCCAGAGUUACCACGCUGAAGAAAAAUAUGAAGAAUUCAUAGAGCCACGUCGGAUUCUGGAAGAAAAAAGGGUUUCAAUUCCCAGACCAACUCACGGGAAUUGUGCAAACCAUUCAUAAUGCUAUAGCAAAGCGAGGAUGGUUAGAGUUUUGCAACCACCCUCGCGAUCCUGUGUUGCCUGUAGUCAAAGAAUUUUACGCCAAUUUGGUGUUCGUCUUGACGCUAGAGAUGAACAUGUAAAAAAUGAUGGUGCCUGUACGGCACGUACCAUUGAGAGAGUUGCUGGUGAGAGUGCUGGAACAACCACUGAACCAGCUGCUAUCACUGGAGCAAGACGAGCCAUUGGUUUAGAACAGACUAUCCAGGUACUCAGCAAUAGUAUAACUCAAUGUGUGGAAGCUCAACAGAGGGAAAAUGGUCGAUUUUGGAGCUAUCUACAGCACUUGGAUAACCAACUACACCAAUUUGAUCUGUACAUGAAACGCACUCACUGGAACUUCCCUGAUGCACUGCUCCAGCAGUUCCAUUUUGCCAUAAACACCACAGGUGCUCCAGCAGCAGCCAGUGAAGAAGCCACUCCUUCAGAUGAACCAGCAGAGGACGCUGCCACUGAGCUACAAGCAGCAGUCGACUCAGAAGAGGCUGAACCGUCUGAUCCACCUGAGGACGAAGGUGACAAGUCUGAGACUGAUAGCUCACCCUCAGAGGCAGAGGAUAACUCAGAGAAAGAAAGUGAGGAACCAACCAUCCCAAGCUAGCCCAAAACUAGAAAAAAGCAUAUUAUUCAAGAAGAAGAAGAGGAAGACCUUGAAGAGGAGCUGCCUAUUCCAGUCUUUAAGGGUAAGAGGAAGGAUAAGGGUAAAGCAAAAUUGGCAACCCCUCCAGCCUCUGAAGAUGAAAUGGAGCAAGUCGAUGCUGAGUUGGCUGCUGCAGCAGCCAGAGCUAUGCCUACACCUGAGCAAGCCUAGCAACUACUUGCGGUUAUUGCUGCCAUCACCGCUGAGGGCCAGGCAGCUGAUGCAUUGACUCAAAAGCCUCCACAGCAAACUCCUGACCAGCCUAUCCGCACCAGUCCAAGACAAUCCAGCAAAUGAAAAGGCAGUACGUCUACAGGUACUGCUACAACAACCCCAGCCACCACUCCUCUCACCAGCCCCGCAGCGAAAAAGACAAAGACAUUGCCAGCCACUUCCCCAAAAGCUUCACCAAAGGAUAAGCUGCGCAGUGCGUCCAAGAAGCGCUGAUAGCAUCCUGUCAUGUGCUGCAGUCCCCACCACAGGGGAGUACUCUUUCCUUACUAGUGCAUUAAAAAAAAAAAAUUCAAUUUGUGUGUCAUUGUUAUGUUUGCUUGUGAGGACACAGCAACUCUCAAGUUUGGGGCGGGUUGUGUUCCCAAAUGCAUAUGUUUAUGUUUGUAUGCAUGUGUUUAUGUUUGUGUGGUGUGGAGCUCUAUUAUCUAAUAUUUGUGUAUGGAUUUGAAAGCCUAAUGAAGAUAAAUUGAGUGCUAUUCAAUAUAUAUAUGCCAAGUAGAGAUAGUUAUAGAUGAAAGUGAAAUUCUGUCCCGACACUUAGACUUUGGUUGAAUUGUACGAGACUGUUAGAGCAAAGCCAAAAGAAGAGAAAAGAUCUCAAGUUUGGGGGGGGGGGGUAGAAGCAAGUUUGAAUAACUGUGAUAUCUAUGGAAUACAAUUUGUUCCAAUGACUCAAGUUGCUGAGUAACCAUAUCUGAGUAUGUACCCCAUAUGCAGACUUGUGUUCAAAGGUAGCGAGAGUUAUGAGCAAUGCUGCACCAUAUAUAUAUAUAUAUAUAUAUAAAGAAAUCAUCUGUCUAAGGCAUUGAGUAGUUAGGUCUGUUCAUGAGCCCCAUGUUCAGCCUUGAGUAAAAGAUACUUCUAGAUAAGAUUACCUUACAAUUACUGGUGCAGCAACUCUAAUCUGGGCAUGGUUUGAUUAAUUGGGUGUCAUCAUUACAAUUGAUUGACAUUCACAUGAAAGAUAAAUGUUACAGUGAGGAGGUUAAAUAUUUCCUAGUUUGUCAAUCCUAAAAUAAUCACAGUUGAGUAUGUGAAAGUUAUGAUUACCCCAUUUAUGAAUGAAGUGUUCUCACUGUUGAAAUUCAUGCAAUCCCUUGGUGAUGCUAUAGCAUAUCUAGAAUUCAACCGAAAGAGCACACACACACACUAUGGACAGAAAGAAGCUUAAGUCUAGGACUAAUUUACUAUGGUCAUCUUGCUUGAUUGAGAAUAUGAUCUAAAGGUGGAAGAAUCCUUGCAAAGUUGAUAAAAGAGUUAAAUUUGUGUAAAGUGUUAGUAUGUGUCAUUACUUGAGGACAAGUAAUAGUUUAAGUUUGGGGGUGUGAUAACUCUAGGAAAUGAGAGUUAUUACAUCAAUUCUAGACUUGAAUCAAGGUCACUUAGAGAACAAAUAAGGUGUUUUUAUUACAUUUUGGGUACCUUUUGCAUAAACAUUCAUUUUAGUUGAGUUUAAUAAGUUUUGCUUGAAUCAUAGUAAUUUGUGCUAAAAACAGGUUUUAAAUUGUAGGUUUUAAAUUCGUGAGAGGAUGUUGAGGCAUUAGAAGAGCAAGAGGAGGAAGGAAGUUGGCCACAAAAGAAGUAAAGCACAAUCAGGAAUAAAACAGUGUUGUAGCAGCUGUUAGAGCAACCAGUGCUGUAGCAAUCUGGGAGCAAUGCGGGAGAAAACUUAGGCGCGAGUCAGCCACAAAAUCGUGAUCUGCAUGUUUCCUAAUUCAAGCAUAUGCACGCUCAUGGGCUUUGGUUUAACCUAAUUUACAAUAUAAAAAGGAGGCGUGCACCACAUAGAAAGGCGGCAAGGAAUUAUCAUAAAAAAUAAUUACGAAGGCAAGAAGAAGAAGAUCAAGAUUAAAGAGUGUUAUUCGGAAACAAAAGGAGAGAGUCGUGCAGAAUUAAUAGUUUCAGUUAAGAUAGAGCAGCAAAAGGGCAUGUCUUAGCGGACAUUAUUAGAGUAUUACUUGUUCUUAAGUCGAGUUUCCUGGAUUAGGUUAUCUUGAAUCCCAUAAGGGCAAUACUUGAAGUUAAGAUUUGUGACACUUUAGACAUAGGUGUUCACCUUGUAGGGUAGAGAGAUUAAAGGUUAUAAUGCCAUACCAUAAAUAUAUGAGCAACUGGUCAUUGUUAGUAGAUUUAAAGGUAUGAGAUUUCCAACAUGCGAUAGCUGCGGAUGCAGAUUUAUUCUACCCAUUGCUGCAGCACUUAUUGAAACAACUGGUGCUAAUUUGGUAAACAACAGUCACCCCAUUAGGAGAGUUUGAUCAUUCAACUACUAUAUUCUCAAUUGAAUCUUAGACACAUUUAACUUAGUUUACUUCAUUACAGUAUUGUUUUAUUUUCAUCUCUCAUAAUUAUUAGUUACAGUAGAAUUAUUCGAUAAUUGUUUAUUUCGGUCUUUAAUUGAUUUGCACUAUUGUGAUUGCUUUAGCAUUUUGAGUAACAUCAAUCCCCGUGGAGACGAUCUUGAAUAGUCAUCACUUUAUUACUUGUUGUGUAUACUUGCACAUUGGCAUUGAUAAUAAUUGCUUACAGAAAUUAACCAACAAUAUUCUUGGUGGUUGAUUUUGUUUUUUUAUACUAGCUUAUGAGAUCCUAUGCUUUAAAAUUCUUGUCUCUCGAAUGUUGAUUGAUUUAAAUUCUUGAGGUAUGCUUGCUUAAGAUUAUUUUUGGAUGAGUUGAGAUGAGAAUUGAGUGGAGAUUUGGGAUUAGUCUUGAGUUAUAUGCUUGAGGACAAGCAUUAUCUUGGUGUGGGGGAAUUUGUUAGAGUACAAUUUAUGCACUAGUUUUGCAUUGUUUACCUCCUUUAAUAUCGAUGUUUUGCACUUAAUAAUAGUGAUUUACUUGUGUUUUAUUUUUGUAGGUGCAAUUCGAUUGAUUGGUGCUAAAAUUGAGCUACAAGAUGAUGUUAGAGGAUGAUUGUUUUCCUGGAGAAAUUAUGAGCUUCAGAAGAACUUUGUUGAUAAGGCGUGGGCGCGUGCUGUCAACUAAGGACCUGCAGUUUUUAUUUUAACGUGUUUUGUCUCUUUGUUUAUUUUUGUAAUUUUGAAUUUAAUAUUUAGAUAAUAUUUUAGAUAUUAGUAUUUUAUUUUUGGAAAAACUCUAUAAGAGAAAGGAGACGUGAAAAACAAAGGAGGAUGAGAUUUUUAAAAAAAGAAAAAGAAACCCUAGAUCUAAAUUUUUCUCUUCUCUCUAUGAAGAACUAACCUAUUAUUCUGGUUGAAGGUUAAUAAAGCUUUGAUUCGUCAUUACUGGGAGAUCUUUCUUAUGCUUUAAUUGUUUUAUUACUUUUUGGGUAUUUGUUUAUUCUCUAAAUUAUGGUUAUGAUUAUGUUUGUUAAUUAGAUAAUUGGCCACUAUUUAAUUAUCAACUUAAUCUAUUGUCAAUUAAAAGAUUCAUCGUAUGAAGAUUUUAAUGUUUGUGACAAAUAGCAUAGCAAUGCGUUGUGUUAUGAGAAUAAACAAUCUAAUUUAAAUGAACCAUCGUAUGCGUUUGUUGAUUAGGAUUUGGGUCUCUUUGGUUUUUCAGGUUGUCAAUUGAUUAAACCCUAUGAUCGUAUCUAGGGUUGUCUAUUGAUUAGGGAAAUAACCAAUGGUCGUACCUUGGUUAUCGACUAGUUAAUGAGAGAUUAACUAUUAGAGGGUCUCAGUAGCUAUAAUCGGUCUAUUCAUAAGUAGUAAUGAUUUAUAUUUGAAUCAAUGAUCAGUAGUCGAAUCAAGCUGAGUUAAUUCCUUCAACUAGAGCUUUUCUCAAUUUGAAUUACACAUUUAAUUUGCAUUCUUGUUAUUUUAAUUUGAUUUUUAUUAUUGUCAAAAAUCCCCCCAUUUUGUAUUUUACAUUUUAAAAGGAUUCAAAUAAUUACCGAUCUCUGUGGACACGACCCUGCUCAAUCACUAUACACAAUUUAUUUAGAGUAGGUAUUUAGUUUUGCUGGCUUCGACAACCAUUAAUAUUAAAAAAUAAAUUUAUAUUUAUCAAGUAUAAAAAAUAAAUAGACAAACAAAAAUAAUAUGUUACCUAAAAUAAUGACAAUAUCAAUAUUUAACACUCUAUAAUUUAGUGAUGUGUUGUCCAACUGCCAUACAUUGGUCCCAAACAGAGCCUUAAAUAUCAAAGUCCAAAGUUAUUGUGAUGAUGACUUAUAAUCGCCAAACUUGACAUACGGGUAAUCAUGCAUUAUAAGGUGCUGAUUUCUUACUAUCAGAACCUUAUUUGUCAUCUAUAAAUAAAUAAAUGAUGUGACUUCACGGUUGGCGGGGUCCUUUGUAUCUCCUUUUGCAUCUACUUUUGUUGUUAACAUUACUUUCAAAAGCAGCUCGUUAUGUAUGCAACAUUUCAAAAUUAAUCUAAAAAAAACAAAAAUUAGUUCAGCUGACUAAAUUUGAAAGCAUGGAUUUGCUGUCGAUUAAAAACCGUUUUGUAGGGAAAAUUUUUGGAUUGCAAUUCUCAUAUAAUACAUAGAAUUAUCAUAAUUUAUAAAUUUUAUUUUCGCUUUUCUGUGGUAGUAAGUCAGACUCCUUAGUGACAAUUUAAUUUGAAAAAAUAAAAUCAUAAAUAAGAAUUAUUCGAUAAGAAUUAAAAUAAUUGAUAAAUAUUUGAGACGUGCAAUUUUGGAAGAUUCGAUUUCUAAUAGGAGGGGAAUUUAAAUUUUACAGCCUUUGGUGAGGAAUCCAAAAUGCACAAUUUGAUGAAAAUUAAAUUUCAAUAGAAAUUGAAUUCCCAUAUAUUAGUGAAAACCAAACAACAGAAAAGUGAAAUGAAUUUGAAUUUAUUUCCUUCCUCUCUUCUCCCUCCAACUAAAUACCAUUGAAAUCCAAAGGUAUGGGAUUUGUUUCGGAGUUUAAGAUUGAAAUUAAUCCCAAUUGUUGAUUUGGGACUAGAUAAGAAUUUAUCUUGGAACUCCAAUUCUCCCAAUUAUUUUAGUUGACAAUAUGUUUAACAUUAUUUUUUUAACAUUAUUAAUUGCAUAUUAUUUAAUUGUCAGUAUAUAAUAUUCUUUAAUUUUCUAAUUUAUAGGAUUAGACGCAAAAUUGAUUAUGGCUUUUGAAAUUUAAGUGUUAUGUCAAUUGAAUAGAAAACAUGGAGUAAAAAUUUUGGAUGCUUUUGUUGAUUAUCAAUUUAUGCAUGAAUUUUUGUACAUUUACUUUGGUUUAUUAUUAUUACUUUUAAACAUUUUUAUUAGUUUGGUUUAGGGUCAGUUUGGUAAUCCUGUAGCUUUUACAAUAAUUACAAUUAGCUAUGCUGUAGAAAUUGAUCAAUCGUGAGGAGAAUCAGCUGAACAUUUAGUAAAAUUUAUUUUUAAAAGUACUUUUAGUUUUAAAAACAGUCGUAUGUAUUUCUUAAAUCUUAUUGUUAAACUGGUGCAAGAAUAUAAAUGAUGAAUUGGACAUAAUGCGAAAUAAAAUUUAUUUACAAACAUGUAUAUAAAAUAUUUUUAUUAUGUACAUAUAAUUAUUGAUAACUAAAAUAAAUAUUUUAUAUUAUUAAAUUUUAUUCUCUAUUUUGUUAUCUCAAUAUAAUUGGUAAUAAUAAUAAUCUUUUUAAAGUUAAUGAUUUUAUUUCUUAAUUAAUAAAGAUAAUUUUGGAUUUUUAUUAUAUAAUGAGAAUAUAUAUAUAGAAUUGGAUUAAGUAUAGAAGUGAUUCUCAAAACCAGAUUUUGAAAAACUAUUCAUUCCCUACUUUUCAAAAUCUAAUGUAUGAUGAAAUGAUUUUGCCAAAACUAAUUACUAAAAAAAUUUAUAAAACACUAAGAAUUAACUUUUACUUUUUAAAAUCACUUUUAAGCUUCCCAAAAACAAUCCUAAGGGCCUUUAUUUGGGUGGUGUUGGAACUUGUAACUUUUGGAUCUUUUAGCUUUUAUUGGUUUGACACAACUGUUACACUAAAAAUUAAAUGCAUCUUAAACCCCAAACUUCUUCUUCUUCUUUUUUGAUUGCACAAAAUUAAAAACAAUAGUGAACACAUUCUUUAAUAAACAAUAAGUAAUAACUAAAAUUGCGUUAAAGAAUUUAGUUGAUAUAUAAAUUGAUUUCAAUGUUGUAUAUGCUAAAUUUCUUAAAAGUUUUCUUUCACAAUCUGCUGCAUAGUUUUAUUAGUAUUUUGAAUAAAUAAAAAUAAUUGAUUUAUAUUUUUUUAAAGAAACUUAUUAGGUUCAUGUAAAGAUGUUUUUUUUUUUAUUUUAAAAAAGUGUACAAAGUAAAACUUAAUUUUUUAAAUUUAUUAGAUGAGUGCAUAUAAUAUUUGAGUGUUCAUAGUAAUUUUUAAAGCAUAGAUAGUCGGGCCCUAAUAUUUUUAAUAUACGGAAAUUUUGCUAAUAUGUUAAUGAGAAUUAAAAUGAUAAUUAAGGGAGGCAUUCGAGACAGUCAGGAUAGUUAGGAUGGGACAUCAUUGUGAGCGGUUUGAGAUUGGUCCUAAUUUUGAUCACAAAUAUAUAAACUGGAUGAGUGUAUCCAUACUUACAUUCCAUUUGAUAAUUAAGAUAAAUGUGGAAUUGUCAAAUCCCAAAUCAUCCCAGACCAUUGCCACCAAAGGUACUCUCACUAAUAAUAUCUAAAGAAUAAUCUACAUCUAUUUCAUACUUUUUUUUUAACGGAAAGAGCCCUCAUGUGGCUUGAAAUGUUAUCCUAAAUAAUAUUCAGAAUAUCAUACCAUGAUUGGGUUUGUGACAAACAAAUAUUACAUAGUUGGAAUACGUAGUUACUAGUGUCCCAAUUUAUGCAGUAUCUAUCAUUUAGUGCACAUAUAAAGUAUUAAUCAGCUUAAUUAAUUUAUAAAAUUUAAAUCUAAUUAAUAAGUGACACAUAAAUGCCAAGUGCAAUAUAUGCAAAUCAUGUUUGUCGAUCAUUACAAAACUGGCUCUUGAAAACAAGCAAGAAAGCUUAAUUAAGAACUUAAAACAAAAAGAAUUAGAUCGAGAACAGUCAAGCCUUAUUUUUUCAAGGAUGGAGCUUAUAAAUCUUCAAGUACCAACAUAUGCUUGCCCCAGUUGUUGUUAUUAAAAUUUUAAUAUAUAUAUACACACACACACACACACACACACACAUAAAAAAGUAUGACAUAGCAAAAAUUUGAUGGUACAUAUGUCGGAAUAUACUAGUUCAUGGAUGCAUUUGAUUAUUGUUUCCAUAAAUUUGAACCAAGAAGGAUGACUCGAUAAAAAUUGAUUUUACGGUAUGGUUGAUUUCAAUCUCAUGCACUCAUUUCUUAAGAUAAUCAAAUUUUCUCUGGCAUCUUUUGCAACUGUGGAAAUAUCAAUUAUGAUCAAUCAAAAGGAUUUCAAAAACUUUCAACGAGACAUAUUUAUAAUACAAUAUUGUGAAAAUUACACCAAAAAUUUUAUUUAUUAUAUAUUAUUAUCCAACCAGCACACAAAAAUGAAUUCGUACAAAUCUAAAAUACUUAGCAAUUUUCAAAUAGAAUUUACCAUGUACUACAAGAAAAUAGGGUAUAUGUGACCCCUAAUGUGAAAAUAGGGUAUAUGUGACCCCUAAUAGAAUUUGUUGAACCUAGACCAGACUUAAUAUCCAAUCAAGAAUCUCCAGGAUCUAGCUGAACUCUCUAAUCAAGAUCUAAAGAAUGGUUAAUCAAUUCACAGAAAAGAAUCACCCAGAAACAGUAUGCAAAGAACAACAAAUAUAAGUGGUUCGGCUGAAAGAGCCUACAUCCACUGAAGAACAGACCAACAGCUUUUCACCAUUAACAAAGAACAAGUUACAAGUUUAGAGAUGAAGUUACAAGCAAUACAUUCCCUGAUUUUCCAGUCCUUAAGACUACUUAUACUAGCUUAAAGGCCCUCACAAAGACCCCCUGUCAACCAGCUGUAAUCUAGGUUUGUUAGCUAACAAACCCAGAAUUCUCCCGCCUAUUGUAACUGACUUUAACAGCUUCCAGGACACGUGUUGAAUUCUUACAAACAGCAAGCCCCAAAACGACAUUCUUUCAUGCCGUUCAGAGUAAGUGGAAGCACGUGACAUUUACGUGCUUCACUUAAAGCUUUGGGUGACGACCAAAGUUUGUCAUACAGGCUUGUAUCCUUUACAGCUGACAUGUCGUAUACCAACAUGACCACAAACUGACAUGACGGUUGAUCUUCUGGAAAUCAGUUUAAAGCUCAUACUUUAACAUUCUCCACCUUGAGCUUGAAACUCUCAUGACCUGCUCAUCUUCUCUCCCACCAUCUGUAUUUUAAUUAUCACAGAUGCCAGCCAAAUCCAAACAGAAUUUGAAUUUAGCCCCUGAAAUAGCUUUAGUUAACAUAUCUGCAACAUUGUCAUCUGUAUGGAUUUUCUGAAGCAUCACAGUUGCUUUUGAGACUUCCAGCCUGAUGAAGUGCACCUUAAUGUCAAUGUGUUUGGUUCUUUUAUGGUGAGUUUGAUUCUUACUUAGACAUAUAGCACUUUGGCUAUCACAAUGUAUCACCACAGACCUCUGAUUGACUCCAAGCUCCUUCAACAUACCCUUCAGCCAUAUUGCCUCUUUUAUGGCUUCAGCAUCUUUUAUGGCUUCAGCAGCAGCUGUGUACUUUGCUUCAGUUGUGGACAAAGCCACAACACUUUGUAGUUGUGAUUUCCAGUUUAUUGUGCAGUUGUUGAAUGUGAACAGAUACCCAGUUAGAGACCUUCUUCUAUCCAAGUCUCCUGCAUAAUCAGCAUCCACAUAUCCUACAAUUAAACUGUCAUCUCUUCUCUGUCCCCCAUAUAUCAGACCAUGCCCAGAAGUUCCCCUUAGAUACCUGAGUAUCCACUUUACAGCCUUCCAAUGUUCUUUUUCAGGAUUGGACAUAUACCUACUAACCACACUGACUGCAUGUGCUAUGUCAGGUCUGGUGAGUACCAUAGCAUACAUUAAGCAGCCUACAGAACUUGCAUAAGGAAUUUUCAUCAUUUUAGACUUGUCAGCAUUAGCUUUUGGGCACUGCUGCUCUGAUAAUCUGAAGUGGGCUGGUAAUGGUGUUUGCACUGGUUUGGCAGUAGCCAUGUCAAACUUAUCAAGUACUCUCCUGAUGUAUUCCUCAUGUGUAAGAAACAAGGUGCCAGAUUUCCAAUCUCUGAUUAGUUGCAUUCCAAGUAUUUUCUUAGUUGGUCCCAGAUCCUUCAUCUCAAAUUCACCUUUGAGUUGUUGUUUCAGAACUUUAUUUGUUCCAUGCUCUUACUAGCAAUAAGCAUGUCAUCCACAUAUAGAAUCAGAUAAACCAUUUCCCCUGAUAUCUCUUUGUAAUAAACACAGCAAUCUAGAUUACAUAUUUGAAAACAAAUUUUCAUCAUAAAGCUGUCAAACCUGAGAUACCAUUGUCUUGGAGACUGCUUGAGGCCAUAAAGUGAUUUCUUCAGAAGGCAUACCCAAUCACCAUUUGACUAGUCUUCAAAGCCUUCAGGUUGAGACAUUAUUAUUUGUUCUUCAAGCUCACCAUGUAAAAAUGCAGUCUUAACAUCCAUCUGUUCAAGAUGCAUGCUAUGAACUGCAACCAGUGCUAGGAUCAUUCUUAUUGAGGUAUGCCUAACUACAGGUGAGUAGACUUCUGUAAAAUCUAUCCCUUCCUUCUGUGUGUAGCCUUUGGCAACCAGCCUAGCCUUAUAUCUCAUGGAUUCAAUCCCUGGUAUACCCUGCUCGACCUUGUAAACCCAUUUGCAGCCUACUACCCUUUUGUUUUCUGGUCUUUUUACAAGCUCCCAAGAGUUAUUCUUGUGUAAUGACUCCAUUUCAUCCUUCAUAGCUUUUAUCCACUUGUCUGCAUCUUUUCCUGAAACAGCUUCUCUGAAGGUUUUAGGUUCAUCAUUGUCUAGUUCAUGGGCUGCUGUUAGAGCAUAUGCUAUCAAAUCUGGAUAUGCAAACCUCUUAGGUGUUUUGAUAAUUCUCCUUUGUCUGUCUCUUGCCAGCUGAUAGUCUUGAAUAUCUGUAUAAGUUCCAGAAGUUUCACUAAUAUCUUUAGUUUCUUCUCUCUCCAUGUCUUCAGCUUCAUCAUGGUAGUUCAGAGUUGAUUUACCUUUCAACUCCAUCUUCAAAUGUUGUCCCUGUGAGUCCACUCCUCCUUCUGGUUUAGCAGGAUCUUUUUUAUGUCUUUUCAUCAGCAUCUCUGACUCAUUGAAGACUACAUCUCGGCUAACUAUACACUUUGGUGGCCUCAUUUCAGUGCACCAGAGCUUAUAACCUUUGACACCUUCAGGAUACCCUAGGAAUACACAUUUCAGUGCUCUUGGCUCCAGCUUCCCUUGCUUGACAUGUGCAUAAUCUGGACAACUAAAAAUCUUUAGAUUUGUAUAAUUUGUUGUUCUUCCUGACCACAUCUCUACUGGUGUCUUGAAGUUUAAGGCACUGGAUGGGCUUCUAUUCACUAGAUAAUAUGUUGUCAUCAAAGUUUCAGCCCACAAUGUUUGAGGAAGCUUUGAAUGAAUCAGUAAACAUAUGACCUUAUCCAUCAAAGUCUUGUUCAUUCUUUCUGCUAACCCAUUUUGCUGUGGGGUGUAAUUCACUGUUUUGUGUCUUGCUAUGCCAUUGAGUUUAUAGAAAUCAUCAAACUGUUGAUUGCAGAAUUCAAGCCCAUUAUCAGUCCUCAGUCUCUUAAUCUUCCUACUACUCUGAGUUUCUACCAAUGCUUUCCAUUGUUUAAACCUCUCAAAGACUUCAUCCUUGCCUUUCAAGACAUAAACCCAUACCAUUCUCGAGUAAUCAUCUAUAAAGAAGAGAAAGUAUUUUGCUCCACCUAGAGAGACAGUAUGUGAUGGCCCCUACAGAUCUGAAUGGAUGUAAUCUAGGGUCCCUUUUGUGUUAUGCACUGCAGUUUUGAAACUAGUUCUUGAGGAUUUGCCUAGGACACAUACCUCACAGAACUCCAGAGACCCCAACUUAUCAUCCCCUAAGACUCCCUGUUUUUCUAAAAUUUUUAGCCCCUUCUCACUCAUAUGUCAUAACCUUAGAUGCCAUAUGAGAGUUUUAUCCAAACCCAGACUUGCUGAAAUACUGACAUCUCCAGUUACAGUAGUGCCUUGAAGCACAUAUAAGCCAUUUUGCUUAUUCCCUUUCAUUAUCACUAUAGACCCUCUAACAACCUUCAUUACUCCAGAUUCAACUUUAAUGGAGCAUCCAACCUGAUCUAGAGUGCCUAGAGAUAUUAAAUUCCUCUUUAAAUCAGGAAUAUGCCUUACCUCUCUUAGCUCCCUAAUCAUCCCAUCAAACAUCUUAAAUCUAAUGGUUCCUAACCCAACAACCUUACACAUUGUGUUAUUCCCCAUUAGAACCUCACCUCCAUUAAAAGAAUUAUAAGUAGUAAAAAGAUUUUGAUCAGGGCACAUGUGAUAUGAACAUCCAGAAUCAUGAAUCCACUUACUGUUUGUCUGAGUUUCAGAAGCCAAAAGUACACCAGCUGAGUCAUAGCCCUCAUCCUCGGAUGCAACAGCAGCAUCACCAUUAUUUCCAUGCCCUUCCUUACCCUUGUUCUUUCUGUCUGGACAGUCCCUCUUGAAAUUCCCUUCUUUAUGGUAGUGAAAGCAUUUCAUAUUUUUAUUCUUGGACUUUGACUUGUCUCUUUUCUUCCCUUUGUUGUAUUCUCUCUUUUCAGGUCUUCAUCUUGCCAUCAGACCUUCCCCAGCUUUUGUUUCUGACCUCUUUGUGACUUCUUUAUAACUGAGAGAAUCCUUUACAUCAGCCAUCGAUAUUGACUGCCUUCCAUAGAGCAGUGUAUCUACAAAGUGUUCAUAGGAUGGUGGGAGAGAUGAUAAUAAGAUUAUUGCCUUGUCUUCAUCCUCUAGACUCACAUUUAUAUCUUCAAGAUCCAGGAUGAUCCUGUUAAAGCUAUCAAUGUGAGUUGCCAAAGAACUUCCUUCCUCCAUUUGCAAAGUAUAUGGCCUCUUUUUGGUACAAAGUCUUUUGGUUAGAGACUUCUUGGUAUAUAGGUCUUCAAGCUUUUUCCAGAGGCCUGCAGCAGUAGUUUGAUCUCCCACUUCCCUAAGAACUCCAUCUCCCAGACUCAAGAUUAGAGUGUUAUGAUCUUUAUCCAAAGCAUCUAGCAUUUCUUCAUCAAAAAGCUUGCUGGGUUUCUUUUCAGAUCUUGGAUCACCCAAAGUAUCCUCCAGCCCCUGAUGAACCAACAGAGCUCUCAUCUUGAGCCGCCAUAGAUGGAAGUCAUUUUCUCCAGUGAAUUUUUCUACCUCAAACUUAGAGGUUCUCAUUUCUUGGAUCAAAGAUCAGAGAUAAGGCUCUGAUACCAAUUUGUUGAACCUAGACCAGACUUAAUAUCCAAUCAAGAAUCUCCAGGAUCUAGUUGAACUCUCUAAUCAAGAUCUAAAGAAUGGUUAAUCAAUUCACAGAAAAAAAUCACCCAGAAAUAGUAUGCAAAGAACAACAAAUAUAAGUGGUUCGGCUGAAAGAGCCUACAUCCACUGAAGAACAGAGCAACAGCUUUUCACCAUUAACAAAGAACAAGUUACAAGUUUAGAGACGAAGUUACAAGCAAUACAUUCCCUGAUUUUCCAGUCCUUAAGACUACUUAUACUAGCUUAAAGGCCCUCACAAAGACCCCCUGUCAACCAGCUGUAAUCUAGGUUUGUUAGCUAACAAACCCAGAAUUCUCCUGCCUAUUGUAACUGACUUUAACAGCUUCCAGGACACGUGUUGAAUUCUUACAAACAGCAAGCCCCAAAACGACAUUCUUUCAUGCCGUUCAGAGUAAGUGGAAGCACGUGACAUUUACGUGCUUCACUUAAAGCUUUGGCUGACGACCAAAGUUUAUCAUACAGGCUUGUAUCCUUUACAGCUGACAUGUCGUAUACCAACAUGACCACAAACUAACAUGACGGUUGAUCUUCUGGAAAUCAGUUGAAAGCUCAUACUUUAACAUAUAUCACUAACUUCUAACUUUGUAACCCCGAGUUGCUUUUGUUACCCUUUAUGUGACUGCCACACUGCUGUCACAUAUGUUAUUAACCACGUGACGGUAAAGAGCCGUUCGGUAUACUACUAUUUUACAAUUUUAAAUUUAUUUCCAGUUAGAAAACUAUUCGCUGGACUCCGUGUUACAUAUGCCACCAUCGUAAACCUAACUGGUUGCCGGCGAACGGCGUAAAACACCGGCCAUCUUCUUCUUCAUCGUAUUCUCCCUUCAUCUUUUGUUCGUAUUAUAGCCGUUAUUGUCAAUUUUUGUCCCGCCAGCAAUAUUUUUUUAUUCCUACAAGUUGAAGCACCCGUGCUCUUGUUCCAUUGAUGAGUUUGCUCACUCAAAUUAAUUUUGUUCUGUAGAAUUUACAAAGUUCAAAUGGAUUCAUUUGAAUUUAGCUUUAAUUAUGUAUGUCAAUUAUGUAUUUAGAUUAUGAAUUUAGCCGUUAUUGUCAAUUAUGUAUUUAGAUUUACUUUAAUUUUAUGCUUAAAGCUUCUACAUUGCUGAUUCUAUAUUAAUAAUGUUAUGUUCUAUUUUCAGAAAUUAUAAUACAAAAGUUUUUACAAUGUUGUGCAUCUACAAACUGAAUUGACUUGUAGAAUAAGAGCUUGGAGUAGUGUUAUGUUCUUGAAUAAAUGAAUGUUCAUAUUGUGUAAGAGCAUGUAGAUGUAAAGCAUCAUUACCAUAUCUACAAAGUGCUUUCAUUCUGUUCAGAUGCUCUUCUUGAACUUUGAAAGGUGCCUCGUUCAAGUCCUAGCUAUAACUACUAGUUUUGAUUAAUUAAGUUCCUGUACUAGCUGAAACAGAUUUAUUUAAUUAAUUAAUUGUGUAUGUACUAAUUAUAUUGAAAGUAUAUGAAUUUUUUUUUUAAAACAUGAAUGACUUCUAAAUGACUUAAAAACCUAAAGGAUGUGUGAAAUAAUGCUCAUUUCACUUGAAUGAACCCAUUAAUACUUUUAUGUCUAUGAUUGUCAAUAUUGGCUUAAGCAUUUCAGCUAAGUGGUUUACCUAACAGAGAAAAAAAUUUAAUAGAAAACUUCAGAGUUCUAACAGAAAUAUAGUUCACUAUGCAGAUAUAGUUAUUUUACGGUAUACAAAUCAAGUUGUCCUAAUCUCAAUGUCCUAUGACCGAUUUUAUUUUAUAUAGUCAUUAAUUUUUGCCAUGGUUUUUUGUGUUUAUGAGUAUGAAAUAGUGGGAUUUGGUGUACCUUAGCAUCUUUUGAAAAUUCUCUUUAUGUGUGGCCAACAGAAUAUAAUCAAGUUUCUUAAUCGUGUAUAUUAGUUUUGGGUAUGAAUGUUCCUAUUCUAGUUCUAGGCAAAGCUUCUUCAUUUUGGUCUUCAGAUUUCCAGUAGGUUAAGUUAAUCAACUAUCACAACUGACUAGCUAGUUAUUGUCUGCCUUGGCGCCAUUACCCAGGCCAUUAUAUUGCAUAGCAUAAGGAAUAGUGAUUAGGUGAUUAUUAGUGAUUUGUUGAGCUUAUUAUUGACCAAACAAACAUAUUCGCCUUUGCCCACAACUUAGUUUGAUUAGUUAUUAGACCUUAAAGAGCCUUGAUCUAUUCAUUGGCUUUAUUAUUUUUAUUUGGUUUUUCUUUCAACAAUAUUGUUGAUUUCUUAUAAAAAUAUUCAUUGGUUUUUAAACACCUAAUCAUUGGCUAUAUGAAGCUAAUUAAAACUGAGGCUUUGGAUCAAUUUCUUCUAACAGGAUACAAAUGAGCAUAACCUAUCUCCUCUAAGUAAAUUUUUUUAAUAUCCUUGAUUUGUAAGGAUCUGGAGGCCUGAAAUCCUCUAGAUUUUUUUUAACACUGUCAAUGUUCUUUUUAUUCUGAAAAGGAAAUAAAAGGUUUUAUCUUUCAUACCCUAAUAGUAAGCUGACCUUGUCUUACCCGAGGAUUUGCAAGAUUCAUAGUGCCCCCCCCCCCCCCCCCCCAAAAAAAAAAAAAACACAAAUAGGAAGAUUUUGCAAGAUUCACCACCAGGUUUUUUUUCAUUUAUUAAUUGUGUGUACGUACUAGUUAUAUGUUGAAAGAAUAGGAAGAAGUAUUUCAACAUGAAUGAAUGACUUAAAACUUAUUGCUCAGUAAACAUAAUCUGCAUCAGUGCGAAAAUGUAUUUAUCGGUUGUAUUUUUUAUGGUUUUGCUUAAGAAAUGAUAUGUGAAAUAAUGCUACAUUGUAUCAGGAAUAAAUUGAAGAGAUUUAUGAUAUUUAUGUGUUAUUCAAAUUUCAGAUUCAAUUUUAAAUACGUGCAUUGAAAGCUUAGACUUGUUUAAGAAAUUAUUAAUAGACACAUGUUUUAUUAGUGUCAUCUUUGGAUGAUAGUGAGGUUCAUAUGUCUAUUAAUAAUUCUUGAAUUGUCCAGGCUUGGGCAGUUUGGGAAUGCAUAGUUCUCUCUGGUAGCUAGUAGCUGAAGUUUUUUUCGCAAGUAAAAAUGGGUUUUUCGGUAGCUGCUCCUCGUGUUCUCUGGGUACGUACUAGGUGAAUGGGUGUCAUGUGUUGUUUUGGCAUAACGCAUAAACACUUAUAUAGCUAUGUUGUGUGCUUCGAGAAUUAUAGGGAGAUGGUGCCGAAAUUUUUAUAAACGUAGAAGAAAACUUUAGGUACUUGAGAUUGAAGAAACUUAUGCAUUCUUGAGUGGGAUAUGUAGGAUUACUUACCUUUUGUAAAUAUGAAGGGAAUGUUGGAUAUAUUGAGGAUAGUGUAGGAGCUGAGUUGGAUGAAUGUAAUUGGUCAUGAUUUUGCUGAGCUGACCUUGGUUUUGAGCUUGUAAUUUUGUUUGUAAAUGGAGUGCUAUCUCCAAUGUUGGUUUAUAAAAAUGUUUCAGGACUUGCUGACCUAAUUUUUUUUUUCCUAGGUUACAGGCUUUAUAUAUCUGUAAUUGAUAGCCAAGUGAAGUUCUCAGCACUUGGCGAGGAUAUUUCUUUACAGAAGGUAUUGGAAACUGUUUUUUACAUUAAUUAUUGUUGUAUAUAUACUUUGAUUUUCACAUCUUUUUCUCUGAUUCUUGUGGCUUUGCUUGCUUUCAUAUAUGUAAAUUCUAAUGAAAUUAACCAUAAAAUUGUAAAAUGAUCUUUUUAUUAUAUUGCAAAACCGUGCACACACGAAAAUAUCUUGUUUAGUAGUAGAAAUGAAGAACUAAAAUGAUUUACUUAACUAAUUUUUGUAGCGCAUUAAAAGGAGAUAGUCAUGGACAAGUGUUGGGCUGGUUUGCCAAAUAGAUAUCCAAGUCAUAUACUGAUGGGGUUGAAAAUUUUAUAGAUUUUGCAUUUGAGAAUGUUGUUGAUGAUGAUAUGAUUGGAAUGAUACACUGCAUCACGUAAUCAAAUGUUCAAGUUACACGCAGCAUUGUUAUGGAUUAUCAGUCACUUUCUAGUAUUGCCAACUUGUCUGGGUGGAGUAUUAAAGGUAAAUAAGCAUGUCUUGUUUGCCAACAAAACACUAGAUCUAAUUGGUUGAUACAUAGUAGAAAAUUUUGUCACGUGGGUCACCGUCGAUUUUUACCAACAAAUCAUAGGUUUCGAAAAUAUAGUUUCUUUUGAUAAAACUAGAGAGUAGGGACAAGCACCUUCUUGGUUGUCUGGAACUGAAGUGAAAAAGCAGUUUAAUAUACUUACUGAGUAUAAGAUUGAAGACUUGAAAAGAGAAAUGAUAAGAUUACUUGGAAGAAGAACAGCAUUUUUUUAUGAACUACCGUAUUCAUCAUGAUCUUGUUGUCAUGCACUGCUUUGAUUUUUGUUAUGAACUCAGAUCAAAAGUUUAAUGUGAUCAAAAUUUCUUAAAAAUAGUGAAAACGACUCCUCCUAAUAAUAUGGAAGAUGGCUAUAAAAGAUAAAAGGAAAGGCUUAAAAAGAAAAGCCAUGCCUGUCAAAAAAAAAUAAAAAAAUUGGCAGCGUCAAAUUUAUAACAAAAAUCAAAACGGUUUUGAGAGUGUAUUAAAAUACAUUUAGAGUGGGAGCUGUGUUGUUUUUUGAAGGUAGAAUGAUUGUGAGAUAUUUGUCGACGAAGCCAAAACCAAAGAUGAAGCCCAUAGAGCUCAAAACUCCACCGGAGCAAAUUCAGACAAUUACGAGGGUUAUGUUUGACAUAGUCAAGGAACACAGUCCUCUCACCGUUGCCGAAACUUGGGAAUGCGUCAAGGUGUGUGUAUCUGUUAAAUUGAAUUUCAACCCGUUUGAUCUGUAAUUAUAAUUAAUCCAAUCGAUCUGACAGUGAUCACUAGUAGUUGUUUUACAUUUUCAGCAAGCUGGAGCGAGUGGAUUGACGGCCAAAAGCCACAUGAAGAUUGUGUUGAGAUGGAUGAGGGACAGACAAAAGCUCAGGUUCGUCUGCAAUCACGUGGGCCCUCAUAAGCAAAUCCUGUACACAACUUGGUUCACCAAACCCGACAACUUGAAGCAGCCAAAAUCAGGGAAUGAUGCUUCUAUGUCACAACCCUAGAAAUUUCAAACACGGUGAAGAUGAAGUAAAGCAUAAGUAGAACAAUGAAGAUGGUAGCCCCUCAGCAUGUAAACUUUUCAACAGUAACACAGCUCUUAUUCCAGAGGCUGCACAGAAGAGCGACCUGAGUCCCCUUCAAAACUUUCAAAUUUUUAUCAAGUAAAGCUUUCAAAUUUCUCAACAAAUUGAUUAUUUGUGUGGUUGCCACAUUUUGUGCAACUGCCAUUCGUGUUCAAGUUCAAAUUCCUUGCCUAGUAAGUUAGGGAAGAGAGAUGUGAAGCAAACAGGGAAACAGAACAAACCGGCCAAAUUUAAAAUGACAGAACAGUAAUGAUGGCAAUUAACAAACUAAUAGCAAUAUUACAUUUGAUUCUUUAGCCCAAUUGUUCCUUCUGUCAGCAUUCUUCAAAAGUUUUUGAAAAUUAGAUGUGAAGCAAACAAAAUAAAACAAAUUUAGACAACAGAAGCCCUGUAUUCAGCAUCAUAUAUAUACCUUGAAUACCUAAUAUAAUAAAUUUCACAUCUAAAAUACUAGAAAUUUCAAACAGUACCAGCAAUAGAAUAAUGACAACGACAACAAUAACAGAAAAUUACAAGAUUGCUGAUAAAAUUUCAUUUGCAUGGAUGUAUAACAAAAAUUCUGUGAUUUAAUGUGCGUUCAUGCAUGCAAGUCCUAACGUUCCUGUGAUCACAAAAUGAAACUGAAGAUAAAUCAGAACAACUACCAAACCUCUGACUGAAAGUUCAAAAGAAUUUAUAUUCAAAAUGUCAAAAUAUACUGGAAAUUUAUUGCACAUAUUACAAGAAGCAGUACACACCAAUGGUAAAUUGAUACAUCGUUUUUGAACUUAACAAAGUCAAAUGAAAGAAACACGACGGAGGGUUAAUGUAAAAGUGAAUACCCUCAGCAUGUAAACUUAACUUCAAAGGACGGAGCACAAGUUUCACAGAAAAGUAGCUCUUAUUCCUGAUGCUGCAAACACACAGGAGUGACCUCAAUCUUCUUCAUAACUUGGGAAUUCUGCAAUUAUAGAGCACGACAUUGAGCAUGAACUAGAAAAAAUAUUUAUUUUGUACAAUUUUCAUAUAACUUGACUAACCAAGAUUAAUUUCGUGGUAAUGUAUUGAGUCAUUAAUUCAUAUGUUUUUAAAUAUUUUUAAAAAACUAAUUUCUCAAUUUGAAAUGGCCCAUAAAAAUUAUUCUCAUAUAAAAACUAAAUUUGACAGACCCCUCGAUUAAAGCAGGGGAAAAGGCUUUCCACAUGAAAAUGUUGUUUGUCACUUUGAAUGAUAUUUUGAAGGGAUUUCAUUCUAAAAAUAAAAUACCUGGGACCUCAUUCUUCAAAAUUGACAACUCGCCAGGUAUUAAAAGCGUAUGAGAUCAGUACUGCGACGAGUAAGAAGACGACCCCUCCAACAGCUGAAAACAAAAUUCGCAUUCAUCAAUUUAAAUUAAAAUUCAUAUUAUGAAACUAAAACUAAUGAUUAGUGAAUUUUCGAGGAAUUUAAUAAGAUUCUCAGAUAUAAACGUGAUAACAAAUUCACUCAUCAAUAACAAAUAAUCUAACAGUUAUCCGUACCUUUUCUUGAUGUAAUUGUUGUAUGGUUGUGUUAAGGUCAUUAUUAGACCAACGCAGGUUGUCCUCUCUCUGCCCGUACCGGACGUUUACUCUGACAUGGGUACUUAAUUCUCCUGAAGUGAAAAUCUUCAUCUUGGGACAACCAAUCACAGCAAGAUAUUCCAAAGAUGGGAAUUUGAAGGCGUAAUUGCCAGAGGAGAAGCUUGUGAGACUAUCUAAAUCAAACAGGGACAACGUAGUCAGUUUGCUGAAAACAAUCUCUUCUUUUAAAUUUGCUGUUUCAUCUUCGUCACUUAUUACGACUUCUGUGAUUGCUCUGCAUCCAAAUACACCCAAUGAUACGAGUCGCUCUAGACUUUUUGCUGUGGAGGAUGUUAGUAAGUUCAUCAAUUUCUUGCAAGCACAAGCUUGCAGGCGUGUGAGAUUCUGAAAAGAUACCGAUGAUGAUGGCAAUAGACUUAACAGAUUUUGACAGUAAUAUGCUCUUAGAAUUUCAAGAUGUUGAAAAAUCAAGUCCGGCUGUUUGGAAUCGUGUUUCCACAGUUGCUGCAGAUGAUUAAGUCUGGUCAGGUGUAACAUUUUUAUCAGUGCCAGCUUCCUCGCAUGUGUCUCCAAAUAUCCUUCAUUUGAAAAUACCACUUCGUACGAACAAUCCGACAGGUGGAGAAAUUCCAGAUUGUGAAACCUCUCAAGUAAACCAAGUGGAAAGCAAGCUAAGUCAUCAUCCCCAACCUGUAGUCGUUUGAGACUGCCAAAGAGGUGUUGUGGGAAAUCGCCUUGCAAAAUCAUCGUGAUGUCUUUUCCACUUAAUGCCAGUUCCUCCAAGUUGGGUAAGAUCUGAUCAUCAUCAAGCACAAAUUAUUAACUUAGCACAUUGAUCCCUAAUUCGAGACUGGCAAAAUUCAUUGUUAUAUACACACACAUAUAUAUAUAGUAUUUAUUAAAAUUUCUGGUCUGUGAGUAAGAAACAACAAAGACAACUGACAAAAAAUCUAAAAGUUGGUUUCAUACCUUCUUGAACGAGAAUAGGGGCUGUUGUGCCGGAACACCAAAUUGAUCAUUCUCGUUAUUCUGGGAUAACGUCAUUUUAUCACAAUUACACGCCUCCAAUAUUUUUAGUGCUGGCCAUUCCGAUGUAUGCAUUCCAGGGUAUAAACAUCUAAGUUCUGGUAGACCUUCGAGUUUCAGAGUGGUCACCCGUGGAAAGACAAAAUAAGCGGUCACUUGAUCUGUUCUGUUUUCAGAAAUGAUUUCUUGUAAACUCUUACAUAACCGUAUCUCCAGGUGUUGGAGUUGCUCAAGGCUUUGGAUCGUAGAAGCUGAAAAUAUGUAUUUUAAUUUGUCACAGCCCCACACUAUCAAUCGUGUCAAACUUCGAAGGCAAGGAACCAUGGCCGGAAGUUGAUUGUAAUGCCAAAUCUCGUCGACAUUAAUAGCAUUCAGCUCCAAAGCCUCCAAAUUUGGCAACACUACCUAAAGAUAAUUUUGUCGUUAGAUCCAAUAUCCAUAUAAGAAGUGCUUAUUGAGAGCUUAAUUAGUGAGUGUAUGAGAUUUUUUUUUUUUGCAUUUUCUUUUUCUAAAUGAUUUAAUUUUUUUUCACUUAUGGCAUCAAAUGCAAGUUCAUGAUAGAAUAAAAAAAAAAAUGCAAUAUCCAUAUGAAAAGGACUUGUGUGGUCCAGUUUGGGAUUAUGGAUGCUGAUUAAAUAAGUUGCUCCUGCUGUACGGAUGCAAUAAGUAGUUGAUUAAAAAAGCAGUUAGCUGUUUGGUAAACUGUGUUGUUGCAGUUGCUGUGAGUUUGAAAAGCAAUGUACAUGCGUUUGGUAAAUUUUAUUACAAACGUGUUAUUUUAUCAUAUAAUGACCAAAAUAUAUAUAAGUUUAAAUUUCCGUUUAUUUUUUUUAAGCAUGUUUAAUAAUCUUUAGAUAUGUCAUUUUCUUUUUAAAAUACGUAAAAUUAUAUUAAGUGAAAAAACUUAAUAAUUUGUUACAUAAAAUAUGAUAAAAAUUUAUACUAGUAUAUGAUCCAAAUAAAAUAAAAAAAGUAAUAUGCAUUACUUUCACAUUAAACUUGUUGCAAUAAACACCAUGACUAUAGAAAAUAUAAAUAGAUUGAAUGUUAAAAGCUAUGGUUAUAAAAUUGAUUUUAAAAGUUAUGAUUAAUUUUCAUGUGAAAUUGUUUAUAGUUCAAAAAAAAUUUACAUAAUUACAUGCAAGUCUUUUUUAAUCUUAUUAUAGAAAAUACAAGUAUAAUAUAAAAAAUAUGAACUUACUAAAUCAAAACUUUGAUAUUAGAGAGAAUAUAUAGUAGUUGUGGUGGUAAUAUGAUAUCUAAUAACUUAUAUAUUAGAGUGUAUGGAAAUAUAUGACAUAAUUAUUUUUGUUAAAAUAUUAAUUAAGGUUAUAAUAGAAACUUUAAAAAGAUGUGAUAGCUUAUUUAAUAAGCUGCUUAUGAAAAGUAACUCCCUAUCUGCUUUUAAAAGUUAAUGUCAAAAUAGAGAAAAUUAUAAAAUAAACAGUUUUUACAAAAUUUAACAAAUACUAUUUUUGUCACAGAUUAUGAAAUAGACAGUUUAUUGAGUUUUAACCUCAAUUCCAAACAGGGGCCACAAUAUCCACAUGACAAGCACUUAUUGAGAGCUUAAUUUGUGAAUAUAUGAGAUUUUUUUUUCUUUUUCUAAAUGAUUUAAUUUUUUUGCACAUAUGGCAUCAAAUGCGAGUGCAUGAUAGAAUAAAGGAAAAAAAAAAAAAAAGAAUGCAUUACCCUACGCACCUUCUCGUUGAAAAGCAGAGUUGAAGUAUCCGAACUGAUCUCGUUGGAACUAGCUAUCAAUUCCUCUUGCGACUCUUGUCUGUUUGGUGAUGUGGAAGGAGUCUUCACUUCACGGCAAAACCUUGUAACCUUUGGAAGCGUUCCCAGACUCAAAGAUCUUAGUUGACCAAACUCUAUCGUCUCAUCAACAUCGACAUCAGCUUCUCCUCCAGUUGCAAAAAUCUCUUCCAUGCUGCUGCAAUUGAGAACUGCAAUCCUCUCAAGUCUUGGAAGGCAUUUUGUACUACUAGAGAGCCAGAAGAUAUUACUCAUCUCAUCACAAUUUUCCACUUUUAUGGUUUGGAGUUCAUUGAAGGACUCUAUUGUGAGUCGAUCAAUACAUAUCCUCUCCAUAUUGAUCAAAUUGUGAAGAGUAAGGGACUCCAAAAGAGGAAAGGCGACACAAGGUUCUCUCUCCAUUGAAUCGGCAAUACACAGGAAGUCUGGAUUAUUUUGAACAUGGAGAUGCUUCAAUUGUGAAAAGCCCUCAGUGUCCAAUUCGAAAACAACAUUCUUGAUUCCUUGCAACUUAUCUAAACAUAAGUAUUCAACGUUAUUGAUGCCCUGCAACUUCUCGGAGCAAAUGGCCAUAGAAUCAAGCUUGAGCUUCAAUGUUCUUAAACUCUCAUGAUUACUGAUUGUUAGAGCAGCUCAUUAUGCUGAACAGAAGAAGGUGAAGACUAAGAUGAAGAAAAUACAGAGCAAGUUACAGGGCAAGUGUGUCAGCAGUGCCAGCUCAGCUAACAGCUCAGCAGAUUAGUUAAAGAUGGUUGUAAGCAUGAUGUGCAUUGUACUGAAGUUAGUUAGCUUUGAUUACAGUUAGUCUUUGGAUUAGUUAAAUGAAGUUACCGUGAUUGCAUUGUAUAUAAACAGGUGAUGCUUUGUAAUCAAAAGUUAAGCAAAAUAAAAAUCAAAGUUUGUUAAGGAAAUAUCUCCAGAAUUAUCAAUUCAUUUUCUUAGUAACCAAACAACUUUAUUUCAUUUUUCUUUCAUGGUAUCAGAGCAAGGUUAAUGGCUAGUUCCAGUAGCACAACAUCAAAUCCAAAUCAAAUGAAUAUAAAUCAAUCAUCACAUAUCUCCUUUUCGUUCAGCACUCCAGUCAAAUUGGAUCGAUCAAAUUUCAUGAUUUGGCGAAAGCAAGUUCUUACUACAAUAAGAGGAAAUCGUCUUGAAGAUUUUAUUUCUGGAAAUCAAAUCAUACCAGAACAAUACAUUUCUAAUACAGUAGCUGAUGGAUCAGUACAGAGAAUCACGAAUCCAGCUUACAUCAACUGGCGAGCUCAGGAUCAAACUUUGCUUGGCUGGAUUUUGUCAUCCAUAAGUGAAGGUAUCUUAAAUACUGUUCUUAAUUGCGAAAAUUCAUUUGAAGCAUGGAGAUCAAUUGAAAAACAAUUUGGAGUACAAUCUGAGGCUAGAGUAUUGCAAUUGAGGUAUGAAAUGAAUGUCCUUAGAAAAGAGAAUAUGUCUGUUGAGGAGUACUGUUUAAAAGUAAAAGCUGUUGCUGAUAAGCUUGCUUGUGCUGGUAGCCCUGUGUCUGAGAAAGAUCUGCUAAUGCAAAUUUUGAAUGGCCUAGGACCUGGAUUUCUAGAUCUUGCUUCAAUAAUUACUGCUAAUAGAAUGUCGUAUGAUGAUGCUUAUGCAUUACUCUUAACACAUGAGGCAAGAAUGGAACAAAAUCAUAAUACUAAAGAUCUUUUUAGUGCAAACUAUGGGAUGAUGAAUGCUAACUACUCUCAGUUUAGAGGAAAUAAUAAGAGAGGUGGUUAUAGUGGAUAUCAAGGGCAAUUUAAUGCUGGAAAUAGGAAUCAAAAUGGAGGAAGAGGAAUGUUUUUCAAUUCAUUCUCAAGAGGUUUUCCAGCUGGUGGAUAUACUGGUAAUGCUGGUGGCAGAGGACAGCAAAUGAAUGCAUAUGCUUAUAAACCUGUGCUUAACAACAGGCAUAAUUUCAAUAUGAAUCAUGGCUCAACUUCAAUGUCCAAUGGAAAUGGAUCUGAUGAUAAUGUGCUUAUCUGUCAAAUCUGUCAUAAAGCUGGACAUGCAGCUGAUGUUUGUUGGCACAGACACUUUGAUGGCUAUGCUCCUCAACCCAGACAAUUUGGAAGGGGCAGAGGGCAUAAGUCUGCUUAUAUGGCUAACUUUGAUCCACAAAUUGGCUUUACUUCACAAUUUGAAGAUUCGUUUGCUACAGAAUAUCCUGGUUAUCAUGGGUACCAUCCACCUGAUAUGAAUGCAUCAGUUGCAUCAGUAAGUCAUCACUCAUCUGAUAUGCAUUCUGUACCUGGAGCAGCUUAUAUUGCAAAUUUUGAAGGACCAGCUGAUGAAGGGUGGUAUCUUGAUAGUGGAGCUACGCAUCACAUCACUAACAACAUGGCCAAUAUGCAUAUCAGAGAUCAAUUCAGUGGAGCAGAUCAGCUCAUUAUUGGAAAUGGACAAGGUUUGCCCAUAACUCAUGUUGGUGAUGCAUCCUUUCUCUUUAAAAGUUCCAAUUCUACACACAAACACUCACCUAUAGUACUUAAAGAUAUUCUGUUGGUGCCUUCCAUUACCAAAAAUUUGUUAAGUAUCUCGAAGCUUACCACUGAUAACAACUUGUCUGUUGAAUUUCUUGGAAAUGUUUGUUUUGUGAAGGAUUCUCUGAGGGGACAGGUACUUCUGCAGGGUCUUGCUGAGAAAGGGUUAUACAGGCUGUUAUUGAAAUCAUCAUCAUCCUCUCAGUUAUCAUCAUCUUUUCUUUCUCACAUGUGUUCCAAUAAACCUUUGUCUAUGCUUUCUUGUUGUUGUUUCAAUUCUGUUCCUUCUGGAGUUGUUACAGAAUCUCAGAAAUCAUGUAAUCAAACUGAUGAUUCAUCUUGUAAAACUUCAGUUAAUAAAGCUAUUUUGCUUCAUAGAAAGUUUGGUCAUCCCAAUCAUCAAAUAUUAACUCAUAUACUCAAAACAGCAAAAUCUAUUCAUUUACCUGCAUAUCAAAAGCAACAAAUGCAUCAGCACAUCUGUGAGGCCUGUCAAAUGGGCAAAACACAUAAACUUCAUUUUCCUAUUACUGAAACCAAAACCUCCAAAACUCUAGAACUUAUACACACUGAUUUAUGGGGUCCUUCUCCCAUUAUUUCUAGAGAUGGUUAUCAGUAUUAUAUAAGUUUUGUAGAUGACUACAGCAGGUAUACAUGGAUUUAUCAUUUGAAGCUAAAGUCUGAGGCAUUAGAAGUCUUUAAGCUCUUUAAACUGCAGGUUGAAAAUCAGUUUAGCACAACCAUUAAGAUGAUGCAAUCUGAUUGGUGGGGAGAGUAUAGACCAUUCACUGAGUUUUUAAGCCAAUUUGGUAUCAUCUUUAGACAUCCUUGUCCUUAUACUCAUCAUCAAAAUGGGUUAGUUGAAAGGAAGCAUAGACAUAUUGUUGAAUUGGGUCUGACUCUCUUAGCUCAAGCUCAACUUCCCUUUAAGUUCUGGUGGGAUGCAUUUCAUACUGCUGUAUAUCACAUCAACAGACUUCCAUCUCCUGUUUUGCACCUUUUAACCCCAUAUGAAAAGACAUUCAAACACAAACCUGAUUAUGAUUUUCUCAGAUGUUUUGGGUGUUCUUGUUAUCCUUACUUGAGAGAUUACAAUAAACAUAAAUUUGCCUACCAUUCUAGUAAGUGCAUAUUCAUUGGUUACAGUCCUUCACAUAAGGGCUACAAAUGUUUACACCCUUCAGGUCGAGUCUAUGUGGCAAGACAUGUUACCUUUGAUGAAUCAGUUUUUCCUUAUGCCACUGAGUUUGUUUUUCAUAGUCAUGCUAAAACUGAUUCUCAAAUUUCUCAUUCCCAUACACCACAGCAAAUCCAUCAUAUCUCUUCUUUGCCUGUCAAUAACAGCACUGGUAAUCUGAACUCUGUAAGAUCUGGAAGCAGCAGUUCAAGUCACUCAGAUCAUCUAGAACAGACAGCAACUGAUCAGAAUUCACAACAAGCUACCAUAAAUGACAGGUCACCUUUUCAUACAUGUCCAACAAUUGUUGAAUCUAUACAAAAUAUUCCAGAACCUCCACAUCACUCUUUGCCUAUACAAAGUCACCAUCCUAGCAACACCUCUUUCUAUCCAUAUACACAACCAAAUACACAUCAGAUGAUAACCAGAAGUAAAGCAGGGAUUUUCAAACCCAAAAUUUAUACUGCUGUGCUUACUCACAAGGAACCAGAUACUGUGCAAGAAGCAUUAAAUGAUUCAAAGUGGCUACAAGCUAUGAGGGAGGAAUAUGAUGCCUUGAUUAAGAAUAAUACAUGGACAUUGGUUCCAAGACAAGCUGAUCAGCAUGUGGUUGGAAAUAAAUGGGUGUAUAGAAUCAAAUAUAAUACAGAUGGAAGUAUAGCUAAGUAUAAAGCUAGACUUGUUGCAAAGGGUUUUCAGCAAGUGGCAGGGAUUAACUAUUUUGAGACAUUUAGUCCAGUUGUGAAGUCAGCUACAGUUAGAGUAAUACUUAGCUUGGCAGUGAUGAAUCAGUGGAGAAUAAGGCAAGUGGAUGUCAAUAAUGCCUUUUUGAAUGGAGAGCUAACAGAAGAAGUUUUCAUGUCUCAACCUGAUGGCUUUAUUGAUGCUCAGAGAUCUGAUUUUGUAUGCAAAUUACACAAGUCUCUGUAUGGGCUCAAGCAAGCUCCUAGAGCCUGGUAUGACAAGCUUAAAGGAUGCUUAAUAAGCUGGGGUUUCACUACUACUAGUUCUGACACCUCAUUGUUUGUUAGGAAGAUCAAGACAUCUAUGAUCAUAGUUCUUAUAUAUGUUGAUGACAUACUGAUCACAGGUCCAAACACUGAGGAGCUGGAAGGUUUCAUAACUGAAUUCAGCAAAACUUUUGCUCUAAAGGAUCUGGGAGUGUUAUCUUAUUUCCUUGGAAUUGAGGUAUUAUAUGAUGCAGAUUGUAUGUACUUGUCACAGAGAAAGUAUAUCAGAGAUUUGUUAUCGAAGGUAGAAAUGACUGAAUGUAAGGGCAUUGAUACACCCAUGAGUACUGGCUCUAAACUGCAAAAGAUAGUUCAGGGGGAACUUGGAUACUAUCUUGAAGAUCCAACUCAUUAUAGAAGCAUAGUUGGAGGAAUGCAGUACCUGAUACUUACCAGACCUGAGAUUGCGUUUGCUGUAAACAAGCUCAGUCAGUAUGUAGCUGCACCAACACUACAACAUCUAAUGGCAUGCAAGAGAGUUCUAAGAUAUCUGAAGGCAACUCAAGAUUAUGGUUUAAAAUUUUUCAGAGAAGGAAGCUUAACACUCACUAGUUUUACUGAUGCAGAUUGGGCAUGUGACUUAGAUGAUAGGAAAUCAGUUGGUGCUUAUUGCAUUUAUUUAGGCAAUAAUUUGAUAUCCUGGUCUUCUAAGAAACAAUCAGUGAUAACCAGAUCAAGUGCCGAGAGUGAGUAUAGAGCUUUGGCAUCAGUGAGUGCAGAGCUGACAUGGUUACAAUCCUUAUUUUCUGAGUUGGGAUUAAGUUGCAUAGAAAAGCCAAUCAUAUGGUGUGACAACAUUAGUGCCACUGAACUAGCAAAGAAUCUUGUGUAUCAUUCAAGAACAAAGCAUAUCGAAAUUGAUAUGCACUUCAUUAGGAAUAAGGUUCUUGCUGGUGAGUUGAUUAUUCACUAUGUACCAAGUGAAGAACAGAUUGCAGACAUAAUGACCAAGCCUCUCUCAUUUGUAAGGUUUAACUACUUGAGGUCCAAACUCAAUGUCCAUCUUUGUCCUCUGAGUUUGAGGGGGGCUGUUAGAGCAGCUCAUUAUGCUGAACAGAAGAAGGUGAAGACUAAGAUGAAGAAAAUACAGAGCAAGUUACAGGGCAAGUGUGUCAGCAGUGCCAGCUCAGCUAACAGCUCAGCAGAUUAGUUAAAGAUGGUUGUAAGCAUGAUGUGCAUUGUACUGAAGUUAGUUAGCUUUGAUUACAGUUAGUCUUUGGAUUAGUUAAAUGAAGUUACCGUGAUUGCAUUGUAUAUAAACAGGUGAUGCUUUGUAAUCAAAAGUUAAGCAAAAUAAAAAUCAAAGUUUGUUAAGGAAAUAUCUCCAGAAUUAUCAAUUCAUUUUCUUAGUAACCAAACAACUUUAUUUCAUUUUUCUUUCACUGAUCAUAAAGUGCUGCCGACAUUCAAACCAGUCGUUCCCAAUAACCUUGGUAGAGUCGAAUGAUGCAUCUCCUAUUGAUAUAUCAAACCUUUCCAGCUUUUUGGAAAAAAAGCCAUCCGGUAAAAUGCUAUCGUUUUUAACAUCUAUUUCUAAAGUGGUCAAUCGCCUCAAAUGCAUCAAUUCGUCGAGGGUGGCAUUACUUCUUUCACUAUUGGCUUUUUCAACUUCCCAUUCAACAGGGGAAUUACCCAUAUACAGUUCUUCCAAUCGAGUGAAGCUUGAUAAGAUGUUGGGCAAAAUAAAUUUUAGUUGCAAACAAUCUCUUAAAUCUAGCAGCCUUAACUUAGUCAGUUGACCUAGUUCGUAAGGCAACCGUACAAUAUCAGACCUUAAAAAGCUAAGGAUUUCUAGAUUCUUCAACUUCCCAAUUAUGGCUAUGUCUCCCAACAUGCUUUGUACUAGACACAGUGUUUGAAGAUUUGCUAGAAGAUCGAUUGAAGAUGGCAAUGAAAAUAAUCGCAUUCCUGUCAAAUCCACAACUCGAAGCUUUUUCAUCCCUUUGAAAAAGUUCUCAGGGAUAUUGAGCUCGACAAAAGAGUCUUUGGGAUGAAUAAGUAAAAAUUCAAGUUGCGGACAUUCCAAUUCCUUAGAAACUUCAUGAAUGCUACUAUACAGUAAAGAGAUUGCAGAGCAUUUUUUAAGUGCAUCCUCAUCUGGCCACUCCCACACAACCUCACUUCUCACCAAGAAAACAUGUUGUUCUCGACAUGCAAUUGAAAUGGCAACAUCGCAGACAACAUCAUGCAUAGAAAAUUGUUCAUUACUAUCACCCUCAAGCAAAAAACAACAAUCUCUAAGUUCAUGGAGCAAUGCAUAUAAUUUGUUUCGUGCAUCUACCAUCCUGUUGACUCCUUGAAAUAUGCCCAAACCCAUAGAGUACCUAAACAAGUCUAGAAACCAAAAACUGUUACCUAUUAGACUACAGAGAAGAAAAUUUUUCUUGAGUUGCUCACCUUUUAAAUACUUGAAACUCAGCUCAAUACUUGAAUAAGUCUCUGCAGGCACACCUUCGAAGUUUACCAUUGAAGGCGUUUGGAGUUCUCGCAAGGCAUUCUUCCAUUCAUGCAGAGUCUUGUUUCUCAGUGCCCUUGCCACUGUAGUCAAGGCAAUGGGCAAACCUCCACAUGCCUGGGCUACAUUAAUUGCUAUAGACUUGAACUUACAAUUGUCAACAUCAUCACCAAUCAUUAUCUUAAACAAUCUCCAAGCUUCUUCUUCAUUUAGAUUGCCAAUCAAAAAGUUAUCUUUGGAGCCCAUACUUAAUAGUACAUUAUUAUCUCUUGCUGUGAGCAAUAGUCUACAUCCUUUAUGAUCAUUUCCAAAAGGAAUUCCAAUCGUCUCCAAAUCAAGAUGUUUCCAGAUAUUAUCUAGAAUCACAAGAAUCUUAUUCUCAUUCUUCAAUCGUUCAUACAGCCUGCUGGCUCUUCUAUAUUCAGCUUCAUCGGACAACUCCAGACCUAACUUCUCUGCAAUUUCCCCUUGUAUCUUUUUUAUGUCUGGAGUUUGUGAAACCUCUGAAAAAACCACACGAUCAAACAGCUUCUUUUCCCUGGCUUGCCUAGCAAACUCCUUCACCAGUGUCGUCUUUCCAAUGCCGCCCAUGCCGUACACCCCAAUAAUGCUGACGUUCACAUCAGUCAACACAUUUUGUAUAGACUUCAAAGUAGAAACUCUUGAUUCGAAGGCCUCGUAACCUUUGUUAGACUUAAGCCAUAUCUCCUCCGGAAUGGCACGGUGGGAAACGAUAUCAAACUUCUUAACUUCUUCUCCAAGUUCAACAAGGGCCUUCACCUCUGUCUCUGCUUUCUUGCUAAGCUGAUAGCGGGUCUUCAAAUUAGGACACAAGCCCUUGAGACAGCGCUUAUUUGUUGACUCUUCAUCUUCAACGAAUUUGGCUGCCCGGUCAAUGAUGCCGUUAGCACUAACCAGCCACUUCUCAACCUUCUCUUCAAUCUCUUCCCCUUUUUCUUUCGCCUCUGAAACUCUGCGCUGAAUGCUCGUACGUUCAACCUUCAACUUCUCCAUUUCCGCCUUGAGAUUCUCAAGGUUGGCAUUGUAGUUCCGCUUGCGCAAAUAAACAAGUUGGCGUUCUGUUGGAGGAGCCAAGCAUUUUACAAGUUCCAAAAUGAGAGUAACAAUGAUUUCCAGCAUCUUGAAUCCUGACAACAAUGUAGAAAUGAAGAAGGCCAAAGGACAGUAAGAACAGAGAGACAACGAUACGACAAGCAGUUAUGGAGCUAAAAAUAAAUAACAAACAAACAGAAGCAAAGUGUUUUUCGAAUGAGAAGAAGGAAGCAAGAAAAGGGUUUCUAUUUAGAUUAAGAAUGAAUGUAAAGAAGUGACAAAGAUGUCACAUAAUGUAAUUAAGUACUGAAUCCAAAUCCUAUCCUAAAUGGUUAGAUAAAAAUAAGGGAAUGAAAAGAGUAAUGGUAGAUUAAUUUAUGAGGCCAAUUAACGAAACGACAGAUCUGGUUUCCAUGUUUGUAAUUUAAGUGUAUGAGUACGAGGUGAACCAACUCUUUGUCGAGUCAAGCAAUUAGAAGGAGAAAUUACUAAAACAAGAACCAGCAACUUUUACUCACACAAGAGCUAAUAAUGUAUUGAGAUUGUGCAGAGUAAUACAAAACCUUAAAACUAGUAUAAUAAAUUUGUCAUCAAGUUUUAGCCUUCUUCUUCAACCAAUUACAGCACUAUCUUGAGCUCUGAGUUUCUUUUUUUAAAAUUUUUCAAAAGAUCUUUGUCAUUAGUUUUUCAAUGAUAAAAAUUAUAUUUUUAUCUCAUAAAAUAUAAAAUUUUAAAAAAAUCAAACAUAUAUUAUAGGUUUGUUUGAGAUUAUUUUUAAAGGCUCAAAAGUCACUUUUUAAAGUUAAAUGUUAAUUUUGGUAUUUGGUAAAAUUUUUAGAAAUCACCUUUGGUAAAAUCACUUAUCCCACAACAAAUUUCGGAAAGCAAAAAAGGAAUAGUUUGUCAAAAUCUAAUUUUGAUAACCAGUUUUAUACUUAAUAUAAUUCUAUAUACAACCUUAUAUAUAUUAUAAAAAAAAAAUAUCCUUAUUAUUUAGGAAAUAAAAUUAUUAAUUUUAAAGAUAUUUUAACAAUUACAUUGAGAUAACAAAAUAAAAAUAAAAUUAAUAAUAUAAAAUAUCUAUUUCUGUUAUCAAUUAUUAUAUAUACAAGAUAAAAAAAAUAUGUUAUAUACAUGUUUAUAAAUGUAUAAAUAAAUUUUAUCUAACAUUAUGUUCAAUUAAGUCAUUUACAUUAAUAGCACUUUUACAAGUAAAUUUUCCUAAAUGUUUAACUGAUUAUCUUCACAGUGAUUAUUUCCACAACAUAACUACCAGAAAUUAUUGUAAAAGAUACAACAUUACCAAAAAAAUAUUGAGGUACAUUUUAAUUAAGUAAUUGACUUAAUUAUGAAUCAAUUUAUUAUUUUCAUCUGUGUUAUCUAAACCAGCUCAUUAAUGAGAUCACUCUUUUUCUUAAAUAAAAUAUUCCUGCCAAACAAUUGUUGCAAAAUUUCAAAUAUAAAUUACAAACAGCAAAAUUUUCUAAAGUCAUAACAAUUAUUUAUGUUUUGAAGGGUCCAGCUAGCUUGCAACCGUGAUUUGGUACCCCAUUUUUUGUCUUUUUGUGAUCCAACCAUUAGAUCCAACCCAAAAGUUGUAAAAGCUAUUCCAACGGCAAGGAUGCAAUUACUUAGUUAUUAACGCUGAAGCCCCUCUUGUUUCAUAAAAAAAAGAAAAGGUUAAAUUUCAAGAUUUUGACACAUAAGUCCAUCAAAAUAUUUUAUGAUUUUUAUAUGAGUCCAGGUAAUUUAAUAAAUGAAUAUAUUUAGAUAUACAAAAAUAUGGAUGGAUUAUUUUAACUUGCUAAAAUACUCCCCACAUCCAUUUAUUUAAAAUAUCAAUUACAAAAAAUCCCAUUUUUUAGUAUAAUUUUUUUAAAAAUAAAAUACCCAUUUAAUGUUUUACCAUUUAAGAUAGUGUUACUUAUAAGGAUAAAUAAUUAUUUUAACUAAAUAAAUGAAACUUAACUUUUAUUUCUAUAAAUUUGCUCAACAUCAUAUAACCUUAUAAUUGUUAGCAUAAGAUAUAAAUUUAGUCUAAAAAAUUUAUUCAAAGGGUCCCCUUAGGGCAAAAAAUUAAUUAUCAUAUGAUAAUUUGGUUGGCACAAACUCUAUUAUUCUUAAUUUACUUAUCCAUGCCAAACACUAUAUUGGAAUUAAAUUUUAGUAAAAUAAACAUAUGUCAACAUCUUUAACCGCAUUCAACUGACCCUAAUUGUUUAGAUUUUGUUAUAGAGAGCAAGAUAUAGUUCUUUUCUUAUUAUAGUAGUAAAAAUAAAUAAAAAUAAACACAAUAGAUUUCUUUUAAGAGAAUGCAAGCAUUAUUUUUAUGAGAUUUUGUGUUCAAGAAAUUAAUCUAAUUAUGUGGUUAGAAGACUCUCUAUUUUGUGAUAUUUUAGAAGAAUUAUAUGUUGGAUAAAUGAAUAAAUUAAGAUCAAAGCAAAACAAAAAUGAUUGAGAAGAAAACCGAGAGAGAAUAAUUUUUUAAAUUUUAAAAUUUUCAUUUUUUAAUUGGGGUUUAUUUUGUAAAAUUAUUGCAAUUUAUAGUUUUUAAUAUUACCAAAAACAGUAGAGAUUGCUAAAGAAAAUGCCAAACAAAUUUUUUAGAAUUAUAAAAUUAUUAUAUUUUAAUUAGGGCUUGUUGUGUAAAAUUUUUAAAAUUUAUAGUUUUUAUUAUUUACCAAAAACAAUGAGGAUUGUUAAAGAAAAUGUCAAAAUUGGGUGUUUGGUAUAACGGAGGCAAAGUAGUUUCGUCCUGUUUUGAAUACAUGUAACUAAACCACAUUGAAAGUUGUCAAAACAGGAGGACCUAAUGUUAGUAAAAUUAUUUUUCAAGCAAAUGCAGUGACGAAUUUGGUUUCAUGUUUCACCCUCGAUAACUUAAUUUUCAUAUCUAACAAAUCAUCCAUAUUAUUAACAAUAUCAUCACCAACCAUAAUCUACCUAAACAUAAACUAAACAUAACACAUACAUAUAACUAUAUACAUACCGAAUCAGGAAAACAAUGAGAGCUACACGUAUCCGGCUCCACAAUUCCUUGUUGAUACCCUUGUGCUUCUAAAAUUAUCAACCAAUUAUAAAAAUUAGCUUAGGCGCAACUUUACCCCUUUUUUUUGGAAAACUUAACUAUAAAUAAAGUAUACAAAUCUCUAAAUUAACUUUUUUCCCAUGAAAUUCAGCAUAAAUAGAAAUAGAAUUAUAGAAAUCUUACUUCCUUUUAUGAGAAAUCCAACUUAUAUAUUUGAGACCUCUCUCUCUAAGCACGCGCUUCCUCUCUCUGUAUACUUUCCACCUUUAAAUUCUCCUCAUUAAAUCUGUCUAAAUGAAUUUAGCAGUCUCCCAGUUUCUUUAGCAUUUUUCUCCGUGAAAAUAAGUGAAAAGCGAAAGUGAUUUGAUUAUUUUAAUGUAUGACAGAUCUGGUUUCCCAUCUCCGUAAUUUAAGUGUAUCAAAUUGUCGAGUCAGUCAAAUAUAAAAGACAAAUUACUAAACCAAGCAGAGCCAAAAAAAAAAAAAAAUUCCAAUUAAAUAAUCAUCAAGUCUUUUUCAAUUAAAAUAGGGAGUGCAGAACAACUGUCGAGAGAUAAUCAUUGUUUAUGGAGCCAUAUUAUAUUUUCGAUUAAAAUAUUUGCGCGUGAACAAUUGGCAGAAUUCGUAUAAAUUGUUGUAAGGUCUAUUAUAAUUAACAAGCGGAAUGGCCAAUGGAUGAAGAACCACUGUAAUUUCGUUUAUGAAUUUAAAAUGCUAAAGAAACUGGACAUCAACGCUAAAUGUUAGCCUGCGGUCCUUGCCUCAGUUUCUUUCAGGCGUUACUCUGGGUAGUUGAUAUACUGACCGUCCCUUUAUCAAUUAAUAAUCGAAAUAGGUUAAAAUAUGAAUGGAUUGGAAUGGUAUGACUUGGAAAUGGGAUGACAAUCAGAUUAAUUUAUUCAUUUAAACUGAGAAAUUAGAAUCAAAAUAAAUUAUAUUGUUAUUGAUAUAUUUACUUUAUCUUAAAAUUAUGAUAAGUUGUUACGAGUUAUUAAUAUGCCUUAUUUUUUAUUAUAAUAAUUAUUAUUUAUUAUAACAUUUUUCAUAUAAUAAUAAUAAUAAUAAUAAUAAUAAUUAAUAUUGAAAAAAUUUUAUUGUUAAUAAUAAAGUAUCAUUAGAGUACUAGACAAGCUCACCACGUCUAAGCUAAGUGAAGAAAUAGACUUCAUCAACAAAGCUUUUGUGAAUAUGCGUUACAUUACAACUGCGAUAUCCUUUCACUGUAUAUUCAUACAGUGGCAGGCCAUGUGACAUUGUGACCCAUGUGCUAGCUUUCACUAGUCAUAUUAUUUUUUUACACGGUGUUUAACAAAAUCUUCACGUAAAGAUUUCAGACGCGUGAUCCUAAUUCAAUAUGCAUUAUUUAUUUAUUUAUAAAAUGAAAAUAAAAAGAUAAAAGGAUGUGACUUAACUUGCUAUCAGUGCGGAUCCAGGACUUAAUAUUAUUUCGGGUUAAAUUUUAAAAUUUAUAUUUUGAAGUGAACAUAAAAAUUUAUAAAUAAAAAGAAGUAUAUUAAAUGAGGGGAGACAUGGAGAGCUUUAUCCCUAUGAAUAUGUAUUAUAAACAAAAAUAAUUAUAAGAAAAGAAUAGAAACCAAAAGGCAAUUCAAAUAUCAAAACACUAUUUUUCAAUUAUGAAAUCCGACAUUGCAACCUAAUAACAUGUAAUUAUAUAAGGAUUAAUAAAUCAAUUAAGAAUUUCAAACUAAAUUAGAUCAGUACAUGUAAUUAAAAUUAAUUAAAGAUUUCAAGUAAAACUUUUAUGUUUGAAGUCAAGUACUAAAUUACCAAGCUUAAAUAAAUUUAAAAAAUUAAAAUUCAUUCAUUCUUUCGAAUUAUAAAAGUAUCAUUAGUCAAAAGUUUUAGUAAUAAACUAAACUCAAUUCAACAAAAAGUUAUUUGGAUAUCGUUGUUUCAUUGCCAGUGCACUGACUUUCUUUAUAGAAGUAUAUGUUAAUGAUUCUUCUAUUAAAGCUCUUCAAAAUACCUAAAUUUUAUUUUCUAACUUCUUCUCGUAGUUAAUGUAACUAAUAAAUAGAAUCUGAAAAUUCACAUAAAAUAUUUAUGAAAAUGUUGAUAAUUGUUACUAUAUGUUGUUUUCGUAAGUACUUUUAAUGCUAGUAACGAUGUUAUAUUACAUUGAUUUAUAUUUUUUUCAAUUAGAAGUUUUUUAAAAUAAAUUAAAGCAAUAAUAAUAUUUUAGCUCCCUAAUGUUUUCAAUCUAUCCAAUAAGUAUAUAAUUUAAUCAUUUUAUAAAAUAAGUCACUAAUUUCAAUUGGAAAUAAUACAAUUGAAUUAGGGACAUAUUUGAAUAUAAAAUAAUAGCUCAAUUGUUAUACUAAAUUGAUGAAAAUAUAAGGGUAAUUGAGUUAGGAAAAUAUUUGAAUAUAAAGUAAAAACUUUAUUGUUAAACUAAAUUGAUGAAAACAUAAGAAUACUUGAGUUAGGGACAUAUAUGAAAACAAAAUAACAACUCUAUUAUUAUAAAAAAUUUAUAAGAAAACAAGGUGUAUAAAUGAUUUUUUCUGUUCUAGACCAAGCUACAGCCUAGUCUAGCCAGCUGUAGGUCUCCCACUACUUGCUAUUUACAUACAGACAUGUGGCCCUUAUUCUAAUAUCUAUAGGAAAAGACACCUAUACUCCAAGAUUUGAAGAAAGAUUUGAAGAAAUAGUCACGUAGAUCUCUAAGUUUUCAGUAACCACAAUUUCUCUUUGACUAUAAUAUUUUUUGUACUUAGAAAAAAAAAUGACUUUAGAUUUUUUUAAUAAAUAUAAAUAUAAGUUAAAUAGUUUAAUUUGUCUAAUAGACUAAUAAUAUUAGAAUAUUUUUAAUAUAUAAAAUAAUUUUUAAAUAAAAAAUAUUAUAUUUAUUUUAAUAAUAUAUUUUUAUUUAUCAUAAAAAUAUUAAAUAAAUCUUUGGGGUUAAAUAGAAUUUAAAAUUAAUAAAACACAUCUCAUUAAUAAAAUAUAUCUCAUGUACUAAUAAUAUUGAAAUUAUUUUAAUAUAAAAUUUAUUUUAAAAUAAAAAUAAAUUUAGAAUAUUGAAAAAUUUUAUAAAAUUUAUUUUAAUAUUAUGUUCUUAUUUAUUAUAAAAUUUAGUCUAAUAUAAUGUAAGAUUGUAAAGUAUAAAAAUAUUUUCCUAAAUUGAAGUUGUUUUAAAAUGUUAAUAUUUUAUGUUUAUUUCAAUAUUAUAUUUCUAUUUAUUAUAAAUCAUAGGAGUCAAUUUUUUUCAGUUAAUAGAAUCAAAGGGUAUUAUAGUCAAAAGAGGUAUUGGUAUUCCUUAUUAAAAAUUUAGGCGUCUACAUGACUAUUUCCCAAACCUUAGGGUGUAACUUUCUUUUCUCCAAAAUUUAUGAUUCUCUGUAGGUAUUUCAUGAAGGAAAACGAUAUUUACACUGAAUCAAAUCCCGAACUAAUUAAAAUGCACUAUUUCAGCUUAAAUAAUGGUAAAUAUUUGUUUAGUCUCUAUAUUUUGAAUUAAGUACCGUUUAGUCCCUCAAGACACCUUUUUCAGUAAGCACAAUAUAAUCCUACCCUUACUUUUUCUUUGAUUCUAUAAUAACAUGCUUGCAACAAUAUUUUUAGAUAUGUUAAUGUAAAGAAAAAUUUAAAUUUAUCAAAUCAGCCUUAAAAGAAAAAUACAAAUUAGUUGUUAUUAUUAUUAAUAAAAUAAUAAAAUAAUAAAAUAAUAAUAACAAUAAUUAACAUUAAUUAAAAUAAUAAAGUUAAUAUAUUAUAUAAAAAAUAAUAUUUACAUUUAUCAAUUUUUCAUGUGUUCAAAAUUUUUUAUGUGAUAUUACAUUAUUAUCUUUACACCAUCAAUCAUUUUUAUGAUCAAGUUAGGCUAAUGGAUCAAACUUUAAAAAAUUUAAAACAAUAGGAGUUAUAUAAAUAAAUAUUUAAAAAAUUUUGUUUUUAUGAUAUUAUAAUAAACGGUAGAGACUUAAGUGUUAAUAACCAAUUGAACACGUUGAACACUUUAGCUAUUAGAUCUGGCUAAAUUAGAAAAAGACAAAAUUUAGGGUACCGUGCAACUGUUGCAAGGUAGGCGGACCCGUUAUAUUUAAUAUAGAAUAAAUAAACUAAAUAUGUGUAAAGAAUCUAGGUUAGUAACCUUGCAAUACUUCAGAAAAUUAUAAAAUACAAAAGGUGAAAUUUCAAAAUAAGGAAUUGUAAAAAGUGUUAGGUUCUAAAAUUUUAUUAUUUUAAUAUUACAAAAAUUUACUUUUUUAUUACAUUUUUAUUUUUAAUAUUAGUUGACAUUUUAGUUUAUUUGUAUAUAAUAUAUGUUAAUUUACCUAUAAAAUACUAAUAUUACUCUUGAAAUUUAAAGAAGUCAUUUUAAUUUUUAAAAAUUUUAAAUGUAGCCCAACAAAGUCAUAGAAAUAUAAAUAAAGAAUAACAUAAAAGGAAGUUAAUUUAAUUUUUUUAAGAAUAUUUCAAAAGCAUUUGAGUUUUAUGUUUCUUGAGAAUUAUACCAUUUUUUUUUAGAUAUUUGAGCUUGUGAAACUUGUUGUAAUGAUAAUUUAUUAUUUAUUCUUGAUUAAAAAUAAUUGAAUAGUAAAUUUAUUGGCUUCUAAUUACUCUUUUAAAUGUAGGGUGGUUGCUUAAUUUUUAUUAUGUUUCCUUAAACUUUUUGAUGAUGGCUAAUCAACCAUUGCAAAAGACUCUACCUGAUUAUUGUUUCCUUAAACUUUUUGAUGAUGGCUAAUCAACCAUUGCAAAAGACUCUAGCAUGAUUAUUUUUACUUUCUCUACAUCCCUCUAGACCAUCAUCACUCAAAGAAUUAAGGGUUCACUUGGCAUACUGUAUUAUACUAUACUGUAUUGCAUUAUUUAAUAUGGGUAUAUUGUAUUAUGUUAUAUUACAUUAGUAAUAAAUUAUAAUAAUAUUUGUACAACAUUUGGUAAUUGGUAUUACAUUGUACUGCAUUAAUUUUAUAUUAAUAUUAAACUAACAUUAUUUAAAUUUAUUAUUAAUUAUAUUAAAUUAUUAUUUUUAUAUUAAUUAUUUUUAUAUAAAUAUAAUAUGAUAUAAUAAAAUAAUAUGAUAGUAUAAUUUACUUUUAUGUUUUUAUUUAUUAUAAUAAAAAUAAAAAUAUAUUUAAUGCUCAAUUAAGGUAAAAUAAUAAUAAUAACAAUAGUAUUACUUAAAAAAAAAUCUAUAAAGUUUAAUGAUGAUCAUGAUGUUGACGACAUUAAUAAUAACAUAACAAUUAAAAUAAUAAAACUAAUAAAUUUUAAUAAUGUUAAUAUUAAUAAAAUAAUAAUAACAAUAAUUAACAUUAAUUAAAAUAAUAAAGUUAAUAUAUUUUAAUAAUAGUAAUAAAAUUAAUAUUAAUGACAGUAAUAAAAUUAAUAAAUAAUAAUAUGACUUAAUUAAAAUAAUUAUAACAAUUAAAAUCAUAAAUUUUAACAAUAAUAAUAAUAAUAAUAAUAUUAUUAUUAUUAAUAUAAUAAUAAUGACAUUAAUAAAUAAUACUAAUAAUAACAUUCAAAUUUUUUUUAAAGCUAUUUUAUCCCAAAAAAGGGACUUAUAUAUAAAAUUUUGUAAAUUCUAGUGUCUAUUCAAAAUUUUCAUAAAAUAUAAGAUAGUGCAGUGUAAUUAAUAAAAAAAAGACAAAAUGAUAUGCUGCAACCGUUGCAACAUAUUUUCAUCCUUGUUUGUGAUCCUUAAUCAAUAAAAUAUCUGACAAUAUCUUCGCCAAAAGUUUAAGACAUGUGAUCCUUAUUCCACAGCGUCAAUGAAACUCCAGUCAAAUGCUGCCAUCAUUAUUGAACAGUCGAUAUCCAGCACGUGCACGAAGAUUCCAAGAAGUUGCAUGGCUAUCGACUUUUAGAUGCUAAGCCUCAUUGCGUUGAUGAUACACAAAACAGACGGUCAAGGUAAUUGCCAAAACUUAGAACUAAACAGUAGCUUAGUCAGAAAAUCAAACGCCAGUACCGGUAAAAUGACCGAUAAAAAUAUAAGGACAUAAAAAUUUUAAAGUUUUACUUUAUUGCUUUUUUAAUCUUAUUACUAUUUCUCCUUGCACUUCUAAAGAAACCAAAGCUUUAAAAGAAAUCAGCCAAAUCACAAAGAUUGAAGAGUAAAUCUAUGGUUUUAAAUUUUUAUUUUAUUUUUUUAGAUAAUAGAUAUUAUUUUGAUGAAUUUUUUAAUAUUAGAAUAAUGUUAGGAAUUCUAACAGUAGAAUUCUAACUUGGAACCCAAUUGAUAUGUGUCAUUUUUUCAUUGGAUAAUGAAUUUCAUCACUAGUAAAAUUAAUAUUUGGAUCAUCUAAUAAAUGACUACCAUAUCAAUUGGGACUCAAUUAUUGGGAUCCUUAAAAUUGCUCUUAGUAUUAUAUUGGACAUCUUAGCUAAAUCAAAUUAAAAAUUAAAUUAGAUUUUAGGCUUUAUUCAACAUCUCUUUUUGUCUUUUUUUUGGUCUAUUUGAAGUGAACGAAAUAAAAAUACAAUAGGGUCAACGACUGGGCAAUUGAUAGUCAAGUAGAAGCAAAUCAAGGCUAAAUGGGAAAGAGAAAUUAUAUUAGUGCAAAACAAGGAGAAAAACAGUGUAACAGAAGAGAAUCAAAGUGCUUUUGAGAUCAGAAAUUGAAACAAGAAAAGGGUCGCUUGAUCCAAUGAAAAUGCAAAGAGCUGACGGCAAAAGGGAAUAAAGUUAAAUAAGAAAAUAGCUAGCGCUAGCAGCAACCACAAUAAACAGAAAAUUUGAGAUGGAUUUACAAUAUUUCUGCCUUUCUUCAUGCUUUAACAAAUAUUGCUUUAUAAAAAAAAAGAAAUUGAGCGUUUUUAUUAUUGGAGUCACAAAAGACCUACACAAUAUAGCAAGUGACUGGGAAUAAAUAAAAAUAUAUAACUGAUAAGUGCAUAUUUUCCAUAUAUUUUGUUAUUAAUUUCUCCAUCUUUUUCUUGAUUUGAUCUUAAAUAUUCUAGUUAUUUUAGUUAAUUUUUAAUUAAUUGUAUUAUUUUAUUGAAUAGGGAAUUAAUUGGAGAUUGUGGAUAAAAAGGGCAUGAAGAAAUUCAAAUUGAGAAGGAAUAAGGAUUAAAUUGGAAAAGGAUUUCAAUUAGAAUGGAAAAAGGAUUUCUUUAUUCUUGUUGGAGAAGAAUUCGGUCAACUAGCUUUAUAAAAGGGGAGCUGCUGGAUGAAAAAAAAGGAGGAGAAUAUUCGGCAGCCAAGAGGAUUUGAGGAACUAGCAGCCGAAAGAAGGAAAAGCAAGGGAGAAACCGAAAAGGAAUUGAAGAAAAAGGCAGCUGCUUGAAUUAAUCUCCAUGAUUGGUUUUGUCAAUUCUCUUAUUUCCAAUUCAAUUAUGUUAGGCUAGAUUUUUAUUUGGUUGAGGGUGAAUUCAAAACCCUAAACAUGCUAUGCAAUUAAAUUUAAAUUCUAUCAUUUAAUUUAUUUAAUUGAGAUUGUUUAUGUUCUUCUAUAAUUAAUGUUCAUGGUUUGUUCUUGUUUUAUUUGAGUGGCCAAUUAGAUAGGACUUGAAUAAAUUUUAUUGCUAGAUUAAAAUUCUUGAUCCGUAAUUAUCUUGAUAUUUUAAUUAUUAGUAACAUGUUGGAAUUAGUGAUUUCAAUUAAAGAACAUAACCUAGGUUAAAUAAUCCGAGCUUGUGUGUUUAUUGCCUAGAUCAACCUAAUAUCUUUCUCUGUUUAAUGCUUCCAUUAUCUUAAAUUUAAAGAGCUUGUUUUAAAUUAUUUAAUGGUUAGAGAUUAGGUGAAGAGCUUAUUUUGCCUAACGACACACUAAGGAAAGAUUGAGACUAACAGAGCUUAUUGUUGUCUACGGUUGAUAGUUUUAAUAUAAAUUAAUGAUAGAAUUGAUAUAUUAUGUGCAUGUUUGGUGGUGGCGAAUGAUCCUUUAACCAAAGUUUUCAUCAUUAAUAUUUCUUUCUCCUUUAAUUAGAGUUUUUAUUAAAUUCUUGUUCGUAGUUUUAAUUUCUUUACUUCUUACUAUUUAGUUAAAAAUUCAUAAACCCCCUCUUUUAUUUAUAAUUGGUAAUUUCCUUAGUUAGAUUAAUUUAUAUUAUUAUUACUACUAUUAUUUUAUUUUAAAUCUUGCUUUAGAGUUGAUAAUAAAUAUAACUACAUAGUCUUUGUGGGAUCGAUCCUUACUCGCUCUGUACUAAUUAUUUAUAUUAGUGGUAAGGUUAUAAAUUUGGUGCACCUUAACGACACUACCAAAUUUUUGUAACUCUCUCUCUAAUUCUCACUCUAGCUUUUAAUUGUCACUCAAAACCCAGAAUUCAUCCUUAAAGUGUAAGCAAAUCAGAGAUGACAACGUCUGGCUGUCAUACGUGCCUUUUAGUUUUCGGAUGACAUGGCGUACACUUCUUCUGUAAACCGAACACGACAUGUCGUACUCUUUGUUUUGAGAUCAUAUUUCAAACUCUUCAUGCUAUGAAUGAAAGAUAAACUACAAUCAUAAACAUAUUUAGUGUUUAUUUGGUAAUGUAACGUUAUAGUUGUUGUGAAUUGAAAUUAUUUCUGUAAAAUAAAAGGAAUAUUUAUAAUAGUAUAAAAGGAAUAUUAAUAGAGGAUGUAUUAAUAUAAAAUUUGUUUAUUGGUGUUGAAGUUAAUUAUCUCAUUAAUAAUACUAUAAAAAUUUUAAUUACUAAGAAACACAUAGCAGUAGUUAAUUGGUGUCAUAUUAUUGGGAUUCAGGGAUAUAAUUUUAUAUCAUAACUUUGUAAGUGUAUAAUUACUCAUUAAAUUAAGAAAAUUAUUUAAAAAUAUUUAGUUGGAAAAAAUAAAUUAUAUUCUUUUUAUUUCAAAUAAUCUAUAAGUUAACUCAAAACAUAAUCAAGCUGAGAAUUAAAAUAAUGCUACUAUAUGAGAGGAUUUUUAUUUUUUCCCGAAGUUUCACUAGGAAAUUAUUGAUAUAUAGCUUUAUUCGGAUCAUCUCAGUUCAAACAACAAAUAAUUGAAAGACUAAGCUAAAUAGACCAGCCAACAACUUUGUGCAAGAGAGUUCAAAAAUUAAGGUCAUGGUAUUGAGGUGUUCUGUCUUGAAAAGUACAGCAUAGUGAUAAAAUAAAAACUAUUAAUCUAUGGUAAGGUAUGACUUUUAAAUAAUAAUUUUCACAAAAAUACAAAGAAUAUUUAUAAAGUACUUCUAUAGUGAGGAGAUCCUUACUUUGUUAAAGUAAAAAUAUCAAUAAUAUAAAAAAACAUAUAUUUUAACACAUUAAGAACUGUAUUUUCUUAAUCUAUUGGUGUAUUGAAAUAUGUGUUAUUUAGUUUGUUAGUGACAUCAUCACUUUGUUAAAAUAAAGAUGUCGUCACUAGAGAAUCAUUAUAUAUACAUAUAUAUAAAGUGUUUCUCUCCAAAACCUAGACUUUAUUAAAAUUUAAGAAAGCAAAUAUAUUUUAUAUGGUAUAAUAGUGUAAUAACAUCACACAAUUAUAUCAUAUAGAGUAAUAGUUUUUGGAACUUUAAUAAAGUUCAAGAUUAUAGAAUGAAUGAUUUAUAUAUAUUAUAAUUUUUUUAUCAUAGAGUGGAGGACAAAAUUAACAUAUUUUCUAAAUUAUAAUAAGUAAUUAUCAAAUAAUUUAACAUUGUAUUUCUCCUAACUAGUAUAGUAAAUAUGACCUAGGAGGUACAUUCAAAGCAUUUCAUAAGUUAGUUGUUAAUAAUAAAUGAUACAUGCAGCUCCAAUCAUCAUUGUACGGUGAGUAAUUUCCAGUUAUAAAUAGAUAUUACUCCCUUCUCAGCAAUUUUUUAUGGCUUAAUUUAGUGGGAUCAAAUCAAAAUCAACAUUGAAUAGUCAAAAUAUUAAUGACCAAACAGACCCAGAUAGAAUAAUAUUAAAUGUAGUUAUCUCAAACAAGAUAGAAUAAUAAUUGAUAAGGUAGGUGUAUGAGUGUGUGUGAUGUGUACUCUUUAUGCCAUUGUGUAUAUAUAUAUAUUUGUUUUUUUUUUCUAUUUCGCGUGGUUCCACCAUGCAUAAUUGAAGGGCUUCAAAUUCUUAAACGUUCGGUCACCGAAAUUGAAAUCCCAAUGGAACAAGUAAUUAAGCAUGUUAAUUCAACAAGAUUCACUCCCUUUAUUACUUAAAAGUUAUUUUCGCUUUUGAUAUUGAUACUUAUUUUUACAUUUGCAUGCACUAGGGCAGACGCGAAGCUAAAGGUGGGCUAACCCAGGCAGCAGCCUCGGUUAGCUUUUUGAAAAAAAAUAAUUAAUUAUAAUUUAUAAAUUUAUUUUAUUAAUAUAUAUAAAAAAUAAAAAUAAAUCUAAUAUUUGAUAAUAUUUUUCUUAUUUACAUUGUAUUUUUAUAAUUUUAUGGUUAGAUUUUUAUGUAUAUAGUGUGCUUAAUUUCGUUUAUAUAAAACAAAUUUUUUGAAAAGUAAAUUUCAUUUUUUAAAAAAAUCUAGCCCACCCAAAAAAAUACGCUAGCUUCGCCACUGCACUAGGGACAUAUUAAUCAGGUGGGUUAUAUUACAACCAGAGGAUUUAAAUUUGAUUUAAGAUAUGUGGGGUCUGCUUUUGGAUUUAGAAAAUUUGCCCAUUAAGAGUUGAAACCAAGUGACCUACCGUUAGAUUAGAUUAAUAGUGAUUUCUUGUAGUAAACAUUUGUGAAUUUGAAAUAUGUGAAUUCUAUCCUGGUGAUACAAAACAAGCUUCUUGUACACGAGAACUAUUUGUUUUUAUGAUUUGGAAACCAAUCUAUAAAGAUGAAUUAAGUUGGCAUAAUGGUACAAAGCAACUUUAAUUUUUCAAUAAAUUCAAAAGUUGGCAGGUUGGUUGUGAUUAUUAUCUUUUCUUUUUUACUAUUUAAACUACAAUUAAUUGAAUCCAAAGACUAAAGGGUUGGAUCGAGAAGAAACUAAUUUUAAGUAGACAUUCCGGCGAAAAUCACUCCCAUGAUCGAGACACUCAUGCAAUCAAUACAAAAAAUGGACACAAAAAUUGUCUACUUAAGUUUGGUUGAAUGAUUUUAAAAAUAGUUUUAUUUGUUUCACACUCGAAUUUGUAUUUUGAAAAAGAGUGGGAGUUAAAAAUUGAUUUACACUUUAUCAAUUACUCUAUUUUAAAAAGAAAUAAAUAUUAAAAAAAUAAAAACAUUAAUUUCUUGUUUGUUUGUACUUACCAUUGUAGGAUAAAUAAAGUGGUUGACAAAAAUUAGAUAUCUUAAAAAUAAAUUCUAAAUUUAUAACUAAUGUAUAAUGAUUUCAAUUCACAUGUUUCAAUCCCAAAUAAAUUCUCCUUUGGUUAUUUGAAUCUUAGCACGGUAAGAUUUCAUUCUCUUGUAUGCAUUUGUGUAAACUUCUCCCUUUACCUUUAUCAUUUUAUCAACUGUAUUGAUUGCCAAACAACUUUAGGGUUUAGGCAUGAAUCACACAAGGGAAUGAUAUUGUGGCAAUUUUUUCCCCCUUCUUUCUUCUUUUUGAAAAAAAAAAUUAAUUAUAGCUUUGCUUUGAUGGGUAGAAGACUAGAAGACCAAUUAAUUUCUUUUUGUUGCGUGGUGAUAAUAAUGGUGAAAAUUGCUAUGUGCGUGUUGGUGAUUGCAUUGCUAAUCACAUAUUGCUUCCCAUCAUGGAGACAAAGGGGACCCCUCUAUCAAAGCUAGCUGUUGAAAUAUCAUACCCAAAAUCACAUGAAUUCAAAGGUUGAAUGGGAAAACGAUCUUGCUUCUUUGUAUGUUUUAUUUUAUUUAAAGACUUAUUUUUCCCAUAAGAGAUAAGCUUGGAUCUAUCUUUCCUUUUAAUCAUUUUAGCCUCCAACUCCCAUCUUUUUCAAAAGUUUCGUUUAGCCCAUUUUGAAUGGCAAGGUAAGCUUCAAUCAACGCUACAAGUUCUAGUGAUUCCCGUCAAUAUUCGAUUGCAUGUAUGUAGCUUUGAAUGCUCAAAUUUAUUUUAUUUAUUAGUUGUUAUCACUUAUCAUUUUCUUUUUAAUAAUGAGAUUUGGGCAUUUUCUUUUUAAUAAUGAGAUUUGGGUCCCUAGAUGGUGAUUAGCCAACAGUCUAGUUAUGAGAAAUUAAUGUCUUAAUUACAAUGACAAAAAAAGGCAAGUGGGGAUCUCAUUUGCCAUUAGGUAACACAACAUCUUCAGCAUUGGAGCUUUUCUUCCUUUCUCUCCUUCUUUCUUUCUUUCUCAAAAUAAUUGAAAAUCUAAUGCAAUACAAUUAAAUUGAUCAACGAUCUAAUUUAAUCAAUACAUUAUAUUAAGAUAUUUAAAAUAAAAUCGGUUCAAAUGGAAUGAGAAAUUCUACUCACAAAAUAACAACAUUUAUUCCCGAAUUCAAAUAACCUUGGAUUCCAAAUGCAUUCAAGACUAGCCAGGCUGCAUAUCCAAGAAGAAAACAAAAUCAAAACUUUAGCCACAAACAUAUACGUGUGUGUGUAUGUGUGUGUGUAUAUAUGUGUGUGUGUGUCUGUGUAUAUAGAGAGAGAGAGAGUUCUUUCACUAGGUUCAUUUGCGUGAAACUUUUUGAUCAUUUAGGUUUAAGACUAUAUCAUAUAUCCUAUUGCAUGAACAUUGAUUAAUAUGAAUGAGUCAAACCCACUAAGCUUGUAACAAAAUCUUUUCAUAGUUACUAGAGAAUAUUUAUAUUUUUUUCAAACAUUAAUAAAAUUAUUGAAUUGCUUUAUUUAUAGUAUGUAUACAAUUAAUAGUGUAUGGAUUUUUUUAUCUAUUGGUAUAUUGAAAUAUGUGUUAUUUAGUUUGUUAGUGAUAUCAUCACUUUGUUAAAAUGAGAAUGUCCUUACUAGAGAAUCAUUAUAUAUACAUAUAUAAAGUGCUUGUGCUUCUAUCCAAGACCUAGAUUUUAUUAAAAUUUAAUAAAGCAAAUAUAUUUUAUAUGGUAUAAUAGUGUAAUAACAUCACACUAUUAUAUCAUAUAGAGUAAUAGUUUUUCGAUUUUUUUAAAGUUCAAGAUUAUAGAAUGAAUGAUUUAUAUAAAUUAUAAUUUUUUUAUCAUAAAUGGAGGCGAAAAUUAACAUAUUUUCAAAUUAUAAUAAGUAUUUAUCAAAUAAUUUAACAUUGUAAUUUCUCCUAACUAGUAUAGUAAAUAAUAUGACCUAGGAGGUACAUUCAAAGCAUUUCAUAAGUUAGUUGUUAAUAAUAAAUGAUAUAUGCAGCUCCAAUUAAUCAUCAUUGUACGGUGAGUAAUUUCCAGUUAUAAAUAGAUAUUACUCCCUUCCCAGCAAUUUUUGAUGGCUUAAUUUUGUGGGAUCAAAAUCAACAUUGAAUGUCAAAAUAUUAAUGGCCAAACAGACCAGCUGCCAACAACUUAUUCCAAUGUGAGUAGUUCACAGUGGGUACUGCACAUGAUGCUUGUUUCUCCUUUUGCAUCUAUUUUUGUUGUUAACAUUAAUUUCAAUAGCAGCUCUUUAAUCCCAAUUGUUGAUUUGGGACUAGAUAAGAAUUUAUCUUGGAACUCCAAUUCUCCCAAUUAUUUUAGUUGACAAUAUGUUUAACAUUAUUUUUUUAACAUUAUUAAUUACAUAUUAUUUAAUUAUCAGUAUAUAAUAUUCUUUAAUUUUCUAAUUUUAUAGGAUUAGACACAAAAUUGAUUAUGCCUUUUGAAAUUUAAGGGUUAUGUCAAUUGAAUAGAAAACUUGGAGUUAAACUUGUGGAUGUUUUUGUUGAUUAUCAAUUUAUGCAUGAAUUUUUGUACGUUUAUUUGGCUUAUUAUUAUUACUUUUAAACAUUUUUAUUGGUUUGAUUUAGGGUCAGUUUGGUAAUUCUAUAGCUUUUAAAAUAAUUACAGUUAGCUAUGCUGUAGAAAUUGAUCAAUCGUCAAGAGAAUCAGCUGAACAUUUAGUAAAAUUUAUUUUUAAAAGUACUUUUAGUUUUAAAAGCGUCGCAUGUGUUUCGUAAGUUAUAUACAUUGCUGAUUCUAUAUUAAUAAUGUUAUGUUCUAUUUUCAGAAAUUAUAAUACAAAAGUUUUUACAAUGGCGUGCAUCUACAAACUGAAUUGACUUGUAGAAUAAGAGCUUGGAGUAGUGUUAUGUUCUUGAAUAAAUGAAAGUUCAUAUGGUGUAAGAGCAUGUAGAUGUAAAGUGUCAUUACCAUUUCUAUAAAGGACUUUCAUUCUGUUCGGAUGCUCCUCUUGAACUCUGAAGGGUGCUUCAUUCAUAACACACAUAAUUUAUGCCAGGGAAGAGAAGAUGCCAAAAAAGUUGAAGGUGAUCAUUCAUAACUUUUCAGAAAGUUGUUGCAAAACAGAAAUCACCCAUCACGAUCGGUCGUACAAGUGUCUGCUACGAGUGCAGCAAAACGUUUGUCACGCUAGUUGUGCUAAAUGGACCUCUCCUGUGUGCCUCUAAAAUCAAUGCAUGUGAUCAUGUCGGUGAUUCAAUGGCUGGUGGGGAUGAGUCCACUCAAAUUCUGAAACUAAUCAGGUGAAAUAUAAACCCUUUUUGUCUCCUUCUUUAAUUGUAUGUUUUACUAUCCAUGUUUUACCCAAAAAAAUUGUAGGUUUACACUUUGCAAUCAAAUUUUGUAGUUGUGCUUUUUUCUUGCUUUUAUCCUAAUAAGCAAAAAAUCUAAUUAAUCCUAAUUAAAGGUGUUUUAAAAUUUAAAUAGAGAAAGUACCAUUGAGAUUUGAGAGAAAAUGAAUCGAUUGAUUUACUUCACAGUAUGAAUACACAGAGAGUUCGCUUGCUUUAUAUGCAGUAAUCUAACCAACUUGUUAACUAAGCUACUAUUCCCAGCAAAUCAAGCUAACCAAUCCCACUACUCAGCUUGUCUACUACAGAUCACAGAACCACUUGGGCUGAGCCGUAAUUCCAUGUCAUCAGUCUGUGCAACAACCUCAUUGAUCACUUGUUGUGCUGACUAUCGAACAACAGUGUGCCUCUUUAACAUAAUAGACUAAGCUCGUAUGCAUAGGAAUGGAUCUUUUAUUAUUGUCAUUAACUAUCUGUCCCUAAGGGUUUGGUUGAGUGAUUUAUUCCUUUAGUUGGCCCUCCCAAUCUUUUGGAUUGUUAUUGUCAUUAAAUAUCGGUCCCUAACUGCGUGAUGUAAGUACUUUCUAGAAGAUAUCUAAAUGGUAAAGCGACAUUACCAUUUCUAUAAAGGACUUUCAUUCUGUUCAGAUGCUCCUCUUGAACUCUGUAAUUCAGAUCCUAGCUAUAACUACUAGCUUUGAUUAAUUAAUUUCCUGUACUAGCUGAAACAGAUUUAUUUAUUUAAAUAAUUGUGUAUGUACUAAUUAUAAUGAAAGUAUAUGAAGAAAUUUUUUAACAUGAAUGACUUCUAAAUGACUUAAAAACCUAAACAAAUAAUGCUCAUUUCACUUGAACGAGCCUAUUAAUACUUGUAUGUCUAUGAUUUUUAAUAUUGGCUUAAGCGUUUCAGUUAAAUGGUUUACAUAAGAGGGAAAAAAAUUUAAUGGAAAACUUUAGAGUUCUAACAGAAAUAUAAUUGACUAUGCAGAUAUAGUUAUUUUAUGGUAUACAAAUCAUGUUGCCUUAAUCUCAAUGUCCUAUGACCUAUUUUAUUUUAUAUAGUCAUUCCUUUUGGCCAUGGCUUUUUGUUUUUAUGAGUACGGAAAUAGUGGGAUUUGGUGUAUCUUAGCAUCUUUGGAAAAUUCUCUUUAAAUGUGGCAAACAAAAAUAUACAUAUAAUCAAGUUUCUUAAUCAACUAUCAUAACUGGCUAGCUAGUUCUUGCCUGCCUUGCUGCCAUUACCCAGGCCAUUACAUUGCAUAGCAUAAGGAAUAGUGAUUAGGUGAUUAUUAGUGACUCGUUGAGCUUAUUAUUGACCAAACAAAUAUAUUUGCCUUUACCCACAACUUAGUUUGAUUAGUUAUUAGACCAUAAAGAGCGUAAAUCUGUUCAUUGGCUUUGUUAUUUUUGUUUGGUUUUUCUUUCAACAAUACUGUUAAUUUCUUAUAAAAAUAUUCAUUGGUUUUUAAACACCUAAUCAUUGGCUAUAAUGAAGCUAAUUGAAACUGAGGCUUUGGAUCAAUUCCUUCUGGCAAGAUACAAAUGAGCAUAACCUAUAUCCUCUAAGUAAAUUUUUCUAAUAUGCUUGAUUUGUUAGUAUCCGGAGGCUUGAAUCCUCUAGAUUUUUUUAACACUGUCAAUGUUCUUUUUACUCUGAAAAGGGAAAAAAAAGGUUAUAUCUUUCAUACCCUAAUAAUAAGUUGUCCUUGACUUAACAUGCCUUCCUGAGGAUUUGCAAGAUUCACAAGCAGCUCAACAACACCCCCCCCCAAAAAAAAGCAAAUACGAAGAUUUUGCAAGAUUCACAACCAGGUUAUAUUUAAUUUAUUAAUUGUGUGCACGUACUAGUUAUAUGUUGAAAGAAUAGGAAAAAGUAUUUUAACAUGAAUGACUUAAAACUUAUUGCUCAGUAAACUUAAUCUGCAUCAGUGCUAGAUAAUGUAUUUAUUGUUUGUAUUUUUUAUGGAUUUGCUUAAGAAAUGAUAUGCGAAAUAAUGCUAUAUUGUAUUAGGAAUAAAUUGAAGAGAUUUAUGAUAUUUAUGUGUUUUUAAAUUUCAGAUUGAAUUUUAAACUUUCAAUACAUGCAUUGAAAGCUUAGAUCGUUUAAGAAAUUAUUAAUAGACACAUGUUUUAUUAGUGUCAUCUUUGGAUGAUAGCGAGGAUCAUAUGUCUAUUAAUAAUUCUUGAAUUGUCUAGGCUUGAACUGUUUGGGAAUGCAUAGUUUUCUACGGUGGCUAGUAGCUGAAGUUUUUUUCCCACGUAAAAAUGGGUUUUUCGCUAGCUACUUCUCAUCUUCUUUGGGUGCAUACUAGAUAACACAUACACACUCAUAUAUCUAUGUCGUGUGCUAGGAGAACUAUUGGGAGAUGCUGCCGAAAUUCCUAUAAACGUAGAAGAAAACUUUAAAGUACUUGAGAUUGAAGAGACUUAUGCAUUCUUGAGAGGGAUAUAUGGGACCACUUACCUUUUGUAAAUAUGAAGGGAGUGUUGGACAUAUUGAUGGGAGUGAAGGAGCUGAGUUGGAUGGAUGUAAUUGGUUAUGGUUUUGCUGAGUUAACUUGGUUUUGACCUAGUAGUUUUGUUUAUAAAUGGAGUACUAUCUCCAAUGUUGGUUUAUAAAUAUGUUUCAGCUGGCUGACCUAAUUUUUUGUUUCUAGGUAACAGGCUUUAUAUCUGUAAUUGAUAGCCAACCGAAGUUCUCAGCUGUGGGUGAGGAUAUUUCUUUACAGAAGGUAUUG
Molecule: long non-coding RNA, 78304 nt
Filed under: Citrus maxima (pomelo)
Lineage: Eukaryota; Viridiplantae; Streptophyta; Magnoliopsida; Sapindales; Rutaceae
Description: long non-coding RNA (CMAX_LNC001309)
Rfam family: Plant small nucleolar RNA R71 (bases 7871-7977)
Source: RNAcentral